This 53068-nucleotide long non-coding RNA is filed under the name Zostera marina. Its description in RNAcentral is "long non-coding RNA (ZMAR_LNC000691)". The record is from RNAcentral. Lineage: Eukaryota; Viridiplantae; Streptophyta; Magnoliopsida; Alismatales; Zosteraceae.
UAUUUUAAAAGUCUCGCUUAAGUUUCCUUUUAAAGUAUUAAUUUUAUCUAUGUUAUUUCCUGUUAUUAACAGGUCAUCAACAUAGGCUAAUACUAUUGUAGUAUCUUUAUCAUCAAUGUUUAUGAACAGUGAAUAAUCUGUCUUACAUUGUUUGUAUCCAAAAUUGGAUAGAGCCUUUGACAGAGUUUGAUACCACACUCUGGAGGCUUGUUUUAGGCCAUAUAGUGACCUAUUCAGUCUGCAGACUGAAUUUGGUGGUGAGUCUUUUGGUAUGUCUAGACCCAGGGGAAUUUUCAUGUAAAUAGUUUCUUCUAGAGUUCCAUGUAGAAAAGCAUUUUGUACAUCCAUUUGAUGCAUGUGCCAUUUCUUGGAUAUUCCUAUUGCUAAAAUGACUCUGAGUGUUGUCAUUUUUGAGACAGGGGCAAAGGUUUCUGUGAAAUCAAUCCCCUCAAUUUGGUUGUAUCCUUUUGCAACCAAUCUAGCUUUAUGUUUUUCAACAGUUCCAUCACUGUUGAAUUUGGUUUUGUAAACCCAUUUGCAGCCAAUUGGUUUCUUUCCUUCAGGAAUGCUAGUGAUUGUCCAGGUUUUGUUGUUUUCAAGAGCCUCAAGUUCUUGUUUCAUAGCAUUGUUCCAUUUGGCAUGUUUGGAGGCUUCUUUGUAUGAGCCUGGAUCAUUGUUGCUUUCUAUUGUUGUGAUGAAAGCAUAGUGUUCUGGGGUGAAAUUUUGGUGUGAGAUUUCUUUCCCUAUUGGGUGUCUAGAUGAUGCUAGUUGUAGUUUGUAAUCUUUUAGGUAUGAAGGCAUUUUUCUAGUUCUUUUUGAUGUUCUGUUAGUGCCCUCAUUGUCUGCUGGUGUUGGUGUUUCAGCUAUUUCUUCCUCUUCUUCUGACUCAUAUUGUUCAGUGAGUUCCAUUGAAGGAGGAAUGUUGGAAAUUUGAGGAAUUAUCUCCUCAUCUUCCUCUGACUCAUAUUGGUCAUAUGAGGGAGUGAUGUAUGUGUUUGUUUCUUCUAAUGGUUCUUUGUUGAAGAAGUCUUCCUCAUGUUGUUUGGGUUUUUCUUGAAAUGGAAAGAUUUCUUCAUGGAAAGUAACAUCCCUGUUUGUGAAUAUUUCUUGGUUUGAUAGAUUGAGUAUCUUAUAACCCUUUCUUUGGAAAGAGUAUCCUAGGAAAAUUCCCUUAAUGGCUCUGUUUUCGAAUUUUGUCUUUGUUUUGUUAUUUGUAGCAUAGCAAAGACAUCUGAACACUCUUAGGAUAGAGAGGUUUGGUUGCUCAUUGAACAGUCUGUAGUAAGGGGUGUCAUUGUCUAAGACAACAGCUGGGGUUCUAUUUAUUAGGAAUACAGCUGUUAGGAUGCAUUCCCCCCAAUAUGUAAGGGGGAUGUUGGAUUGGAUCAUAAGUGACCUGGCCACUUGUAGUAUGUGCUGGUGUUUUCUUUCUACUCUCCCAUUUUGUUGAGGAGUGUAAGGACAUGAUAGUUGGUGUGCUAUUCCAUUUGUUUUUAUGAUAUUUUGGAAUUCUUUAGACAGGAAUUCUGUUCCAUUGUCUGUUCUUAUGGUUUGGAUCGUUGCUUGGUGUUGAUUUUUAACAUCCAAGAUGAAUUGUUUGAAUUUUCCUAAUGUUUCAGCUUUGUUUGUCAUCAGGAAGGCCCAGGUAGCCCUUGAAUAGUCAUCUACUAUGGUCAGAAAGUAGUUGUUUCCUUGAUGUGUAGGUGUAUGGAACUUGCCCCAAAUAUCUAGAUGAAUAAGCUGAAAACAUUUUGUAGUUUUACUUGUGCUAGAAUUAAAAGAUAACCUUGUUUGUUUUGACAAAGGGCAUGUAUUACAAAAUUUUGAAAAAAUUUUAGGAAUACAAUUGUUCAAUAAAUGUAGAUGAUAGAAUCUAGAAGGUGCAGGAUGUCCAAGCCUUCUGUGCCAGAUUUCUUCAUCUUUAGAUUCCCUUUGUUGGCUGUGGUUGGCCUGGGGUGAUUCUAGCUUUAAUAUGUAUAGACCAUCUUUCUUCUCACCACCACCAAUCUGGUUUCCCUGCUGGUCCUGUAUGGAACAGAAAGUAGGGUGGAAGGUGAAUAAGCAAUUUAUAUCUUUUGUUAACUUGCUUACAGAUAGAAGGUUUACUGAGAAGGAUGGUAUUUUAAGGACAUUGUGUAAAACAAUGUCUUUUGACAGGGUUGUGGAGCCACUUGAUGAUACUCUUGUGGUUUGUGAGUUUGGAAGGUGUAUGUUAAUUGGGUACAGGAGUGUUUUUAUGUUCUGUAGUUUGGUGUUGGGGGAACACAUGUGAUCUGUUGCCCCUGUGUCAAUGAUCCAUUGAUCAUUUUUUGUUUCAGUGUGUGGUUUUGUGUGUGUGUUUAAGGAGUAAUGAAAACAAGUAUUAUUUUUAUAAUGUGACUUACCAGAUGAGCUUCCAGAAGCCAUGUGAGCCUGACUCUGCUUCCCUUUGGAGAAUCCUCCCAGUAUGUCUAUUAGCUCUUCUCUGGUGAUGAACUUGUUUUCAGUUUUAUCUUCAUUGGGUUUUGGUUCAUCUUCUUCUUGUUGUGUGCUAGCAUUGUUGCUUUGGUAUUUGCCUUUCUGUCCUUUGUUGGGCCUGCCAUUGUAGUUUUUCUUUCCAACAAAUUUUGUGUCCUUCUUUUUGUUGAAAUCUACCCCAUGGAGCCCAUGUCCUGCUGGAAAUCCAUGCUCAUAGAAGCAUGUUUCCAGAGUGUGGUUGUGUUUCUUGCAUCUUGUGCAGUAGGGUUUGGAAUCUUCACUCUGAAUAUGUGUCUUUACCUGAGGAUCUUUAGAUUGUGCUACUAUGGCAUUGCCUUCCUCAGGGUAUACACAUUCCCUUUGAGUUUCUUCUUGUAGAACCAUGCUAAAAGCAUCUUCUACUGAAGGUGGGGUUUUCUUCUUCAGAAUCUGUCCUCUGAUGGUCAUGAAGGAGUCAUUCAGACCAGUUGUGAAGGUGAUUAAUCUCUCCAGAUUUUCCUUUGCUAUGCAGUUAGCAUUGCCGCAGCAUUCAAAUAUCUGGUUGUUGUCUAGUUCGUUCCAGAGUCCCUGUAGUUUGGCAUAGUAAUUGCUUACAGAUUCACUGCCUUGAGUGCAUAGUGCAAUCUGCCUUUUGAGUUGAGAAAUAACCAGGGAGUUUGCUCUGCUGUAUUUCUGUUUGAGAUUUUGCCACAAGAUGUUGGCAUCUUUAAUGAAGAUUGUGCUGCUUUUGAUUUCCUUGGAGCAGCUGUUUAGUAUCCAUGCUGUGACUAGAUCAUUGCAUCUGAUCCAGGGUAUGAAGUAGUUAUCUGUGUUUUCUGCUGGUUUUGUAAUGGUUCCAUUUAUGAAACCCAGUUUGUUUUUGGUGGAUAGAGAUCUUUGAAUUUCAACCACCCAUGUCUGAUAGUUUGAUCCACUGAGUGGAGUUACUACCAGGCUUGUGUUGGGAUUAUCACUCCCUGAAAUAUAGUAUGGAUUUCCAUCUUUGAUUUUAAACUCAUCAUUCUUUGUUGUCAUUUUCAGAUAAAAAUGAGAGGAGGGAAAGAAGGCUGAUGAGAAGGCACACCAGGAAUCUCAGGAGAAUGAGAGAGUUGAGAAGGCAGAAUAUGAAUGUGGAGGCCUUGGAGUAUUUUGGUGAUGUGGAAGAUGUGUACUCUUCCUCUGACUCUGAGUAUGAGAGACCUGUUCCUGUGUGGGAUAUUGAUUUUCCCUCAGAUAGUGAUGGAGAAGAUGGUGUGGUGUGUCAGGAAUACUAUUAUGACUAUGAUAGUGAUGAUUCUAUGCCUGACUAUGAGAUGUGGAGUGAUCCAGAUGUGGGCCUGAAUUCUGAGGGAGAGAAGGAAAAUGGUGUUCUGGCAGUAGAGAUUCCACUACCUCCUCGUCCUCUACAAGAAUUCUUUGACAAUAUCUGGAGAAACAGGAUUGUUUUUGAUGAUUGACAAUACUGUUGUGUUGAAACAGAAGAGAUAUAGUUUUGUGUUUUUGAAACAGUUUGUAAUGCUGUUUCCUUUUUGUAAACAGAAUUGAUAGUGCAAGGAAAAGAAAUGAUUUUAGAAUAGAAAAAAAAUAUUUUGAUCAGGAUUGAACCUUCUCUGAUACCAUGACAGAGGUUAUAUUUGAAAUAUAUGCAAAUAUAAAUAUGAAAUAUGGUUUAAGAAUUGAAUUAUCGAUGUAUGUAUGAUGAUAUGAUAAUGAACUGUAAAUUGAUACUGUAGGAUGAUCGAUUGAUGAAGCGAUGAUCCACAGCUUGUUGAAGUGGGUUGAAUGUGAUUGAACUUGAAUCUGGGAUUCAAGCUGUUGUGUUGCGGAAGCGUUUGAAGAUUAGCAGUUCCAGUUGCAGAAUUGAUCAGACAGAGUAACACAAAGUCUGUAAUUAUAAUACAGAGUGUGUGGGUGUGUAUAAUCGUGUGUUAGGCUUAAACUAGGAUUAGAUAAGUUUAUAUAGAAGAACACCCAACGGCUAUGUUGGUUGGGUGUAUUUAAUUAUGGUAAUUAAUGUAUAUAGGAAUGUGUAAUAUGGAUUUGGGAAUUAAUAUAAGAUUGAAUAUUUGAUUGAUAUUUAAAUAUGAAAAGAUGUGAUGAGAAUGUGAAGAGUUGUGAUGAAAUAAGAGGGUGUUAAUGAUAAUUUUAUUAUAAUGUUAUAUGUGUAAUUUAUUUUAAGGUGGGGGUAUAUCUCUAAUAAUAUACAACUUGCCUUUUUUCUAUUUUGUAAUAUUCUUCAUAGGCUUGUAAGAUUUUACAUAUUUCGUUUUUUCUUUUUCUUCUUCUCCUUCUCCUCAGAAGACAAUCUCUUUUUCUCAGAAUUAGUGUCUAUAUUCAUAUCUAAAAUUUUCGGACAAGUUUCCUCUUCAUUUGCAAACAUGGGGAGGUCAUUCAUAUCCUCAUCGGCUCGCUCUUCAUGAAUCUCCCUAGCAGCCUUCUUAAGUUUCUUGCUUGCCUGCAUCUUCUUCUUCAUCCUACGACUAUUCUUUUGGACCACAGGACUUCUUCCGCUUUUUUUUGCAAUCAUUUGUUUCCUGUCCUCCUCCAUCAGUUUCUUUAAGGUGUUGUUGAAGUCACUGUCGAUUCUUUUUCUCUUCGACGUUUCUGGCUUGUCACCUACAACAAUUGAUCAUACUUAGUGCAUAUUUUAUAAGAAAAACAGUAUUACAUACAAUUUUUACCUCUACAGCUUUUUCUUUUUGACAGUAUAAACUGAUCUGGAUCAGGAGAUGAAUCUCGGUCAUAUGCCGAGAAGUCGAAAUCGACAUCUUUGAUGAUGUCUUCUAUAAGUCUGUCUGCCUUUACACGAUCACUUUCUGAAAUUUUAGCAGAUAAAUCAAACAUUAUAACACACCAAUUAAUGGCAAUGACAUACAUUAAGAAAAUAUAAAAAUGCAACAACACGUAUACAAACUACUAUUGCAACAACAAAAACAUGAUAUUAUAUUGAUUUAGAGUAGGUAAACCUUUUACCUACGGCACUUGCACGUACAGAACCGCGUACAUCCGAUCCCCUUAGUUUCUCCUUCGAUUUAUCUGAAUUCGAACUUGUCAUUUCGUCUGUAAUUUACUGUGCAAACAAACAAACAUCAAUUACAUUCUAACAAAUUAGCACAAUACAAUACCUACAUAUAUAAAGCACAAUCGAAAUUUCAUUUGACCUACUACACUGACUAGACCAUAGGUGACUGAAGUAUCAUACACUUAUACACUCACAGAUUUAUAAAUGACAUUAUCAGAACUACAAAUAUAAUUAUCAUAAUACACUAAUACAUUUUUUUACAUUAUUUUAACGGAACAGAACUCUAUAUUAACAAUAACAACAUAUUAAAGUGAAUAUUAACAUAUCAAAAUAGCAAAUUAAUUCAAGGGAAUAUGAAGAUAUCUAAAUCGCAGACAAUAAUAGGGAACAUAAACAUAAGAUUUUUAUCUAUAUCGCAGAGAGAAUACAUAGAAAAGACAUGCAUUUUCCAUUAUCUCUACUCAACAAAGAAAAAUGAAUAACACCAACACAAAAUAAAAAUCCCUAAAACAUUUCCUAUUUAUAAAAAGACCUAGGGUUUUAUUCUUAACAGUUGUAGUUGUAACUGCCCACGUCUAUUGGGUAAAAAAUGUCAUCCCAUUUCAACGGUUGUAUAAGGAAGUAUUUGGCCAACAAAUGCGGUUAGAAUUUUUUAUUACACACAAUAGAGACCAAUAACAAAAAAAAACAUUUUGUAACCAUAACCAACAGUAGAGAAUAAAAAAAAUAGAUGGGUGGAAACGAAAAUGAAGAAAACCCAUAAAUAAAAUGGCCGAAGAAAGAAUCUAACCAUACCGCGCGCUACUGUUGGAAUAGAAAGUUCCGAUGACAACGGCUAGAGGAACUGCAGAUGCCGAUGAUUGCAAGCGUUUGAAAGAGGGGAACGAUCGGAGGCCACGCAGUGAACGUCGCCUGGAAAAGGGUUUUUCCAAUCGUCAGGGGUGAGGGUUUCCGUGGGUUUAGGAGGGAGAACGAAAAUGAAAUUUUAUUUUUUGAAUAGAAUAGAUGGGUGACGUUACUGGUUGUGGAAGCUUCAGUGUACGGUAGUACCAAGCUACUACUAGGUACCAGAUACCUAUUUAAUAUUUUUAAAUUUUUUUCCCAACAGGUUGCAUGCAACCGGGAACUUCUUUAACAGGUUGGUAUGCCAAAAAAUGGAUGGUCCAGAUUGGUCCUAAAAACGGACGGCCAAGAUGAGGAAGGGCCUUCUUAACUGAUAUACACCGUAAAUCAAUAAAUAAAAUUACACAAUAAAACAGAGUAAAAUAUUGUUACAACCUACAAACAUUCUCUUUUCAGAUUCAAUCCCCAUUAGUCAUUUACUCACAUCAAAUAGUGUACAACUAAGUGUAGAAACAGAAGGGAAGAACAAUGAAAACCCAAACACACAUCACAUCAAAAAAUUCGAAAAAUCAGACAAGGAGAUAAACUAUCAAGACACAUACCGAAGAGUUGGCGAGUGAGACCUAGCAGGUGCCUUCCCGUUAUGCUCGCCACUGGGGUUCGACAUGAUAAUCUUAGAGAUGAUGUGUAGUCACUGAUGGGUAGAAAUCGUCACUGGGAAAAAAAACGCCGCUGGUAGAAAUUGAAUAACGAGAGAUGAAUGUAUGAUAAAAGAGAGGGUUUCAAAAUAGGAAUAAGAGAACGAGGUUGGCACAGUAGCAUCCUCCUUCCAUCCAUCGGUCUAUAAGAUGUUCAGUGUACAAUCACUGCCGAUGUGUCAUAAACUAUCAUUCAAGGCUAGCAUGUCAUGCGAACGGUUAAAAUUCAAACACAUCAAGUGGACGGUGGGGAUUAAGUUCGCACAUAGUGCGCAUAUCCGAGUUCGCAGCAGAAACGUUCUCUAUAAAUAUAAUAAUAUUAAUUUAUUAGGGCCAACCUGAAGCGUGAGAACUUUCAAUCCUUGCCCUUCAUCUACAUCCGACGGUCAUUAAUUUAAUUCAUUUUUUCUAUUAUUUGGGGGAAGAUCCACAUGCAUAAUCUCUAUUUUGUCAUCAUUCACUAACAACAUCCAUUUGUCCAAUGUGUUUUGUCACCAUUCACAUCUACUUUUCUCACCUACUUUCCACCUACUUUUCACUUUUACUUUUACCCUUCUCUCUCACUCACGUUUCCUCCCCUUCCUUCAUCCCCUUCUUAAACCCUAUUUCCACCCAUUCCUUACCUCUAGUCUCUUCUUACCAUUUCUAACCUUCUCUAUAUCCUAUAAAAAAAUGGUCAUCGGAUCUCCCCACAUAUCUGCCCAGGUAUGUUGUUCGUUUUUUUUCCCCACUCUAUUUCCCUCCUCAAUAAGGUAUUUUCAUGAAGGGUUGGGUUUGCACUAUUUGUACAUUUAUCUCCAAUCUCUUUCACAGUCCACAGUACACAGUGCACUGCGCACAGUACAUAGUGCAUAGUUAAUAUUCAACACUAAUAUUCGAUUACGCAUAGUGCAAAUUGCAUACUUAAUAGUGAAUAGUACAUAGUUCAUACAGCACAUUCGUGCGUAGCACGUACUGCAUAGUUCAUAGUGCAUAGUUCAUGGUGUAAAGUGCAUAGUUCUUAGCGUUAUAGUACAUGGUACGUUUUCGAUAGUGCAUAGUGCAUAUUUCUUCGUGAAUGAUACUUACUACCGAAAAAUGCAAUUGUAGAAUGUUGAUCAAGGUCAUAAUCACUCGGAACCGAACACAGAAACUAUUGGAUCGUCUAGUACACCGUAUCUUCCCGAAGUUGGCCAACUAUUCAACUCGCACGACGAGGCCAGAGAUGCGUAUAUGAGUUACGCAGGCAAUAUAGGUUUUAACGUUCGUAUGGGGUCAACCAAAAUUAGCGAUCACGAAAUGGUUGGGUGACGUAUGUUGUGUUCUAAACAAGGAUAUGCCCCCUCAACCGACACGGCAAAUAACGUGAAUGAGAAAAAAUAGCGUCGUAUAAGAAAUUCACGUUCAGGAUGUCUUUCCAUGAUCUACAUAUCUCUAGACCGGUCCACAAGAUUAUGGAGGGUUGUUCAUUUCAUUGAAGAUCACAAUCAUCCAUUGGUGACCCCAUCGAAGAGGAGAUACAUACCAGUAAAUCGUGUUAUUACUCCUUUAUCAAGGGCAUUGUUUCAAUCACUAAACACAUCUAAUAUUUCCCCGAGUGAUCAAUAUUGUGUUGCUUCUCAAGAGGCUGGAGGAUUUGAUCAUAUGCAGUACACACCAUCGGACCUAUCAAACAUGAGACGCGACGACCGAUGCAAUAUUAUUCAAAGAGACGCAGAUUUACUAAUUGAACUAUUUGAAGAAAGAAGGAACAAAUCGUCCGACUUCUUCUCAUUCACUAUGCAUGACAACGGUAAUUUAUUUGUCAUAUACGUAAUUCAAUUUAUUACAUAUCUCUGCACAAAUUUCACUAUCGUCCAUCCAUUCUAUGCAGGUCAUCUAUCCAACUUAUUUUGGGUCGAUCCUGGGUGUCGCCAUGACUACGAUCUAUUCGGGGAUUCGAAUACAUUUGAUACGACAUACAAGAUAAACAAAUAUAAUUUGGUUCUAGCACUUUUCUGUGGAGUGAAUCAUCACAAGAACACAAUUAUAUUCGCGGUCGGUUUCCUGUCACGCGAGAAUGUUGAAUCUUUCGAAUGGAUAUUCAAUGAAUUCUUAAAUUGUAUGUCAAAGCAUCCGAAGAUUAUUAUUACCGAUCAGGACCCUGCAAUGAAAAACGCACUAUUGAACAUUUUUCCAAAUACAUUUCACCGAUUCUGUCUAUGGCACAUCACACAUAAAAUGGGUGACAAAAUUGGACGUACAUAUUAAGAUCGCUCUGCAAUGGCUAAAUUUCAUGAUUUUCUGAACAAUUCCUCCAGCAUAGCAUCUUUCGAGGAAUCAUGGUCAGCAUGGGUCUCAGACAACGGUCUGAAAGAUAAUAUCUGGUUGAGAGACAUCUAUAUAAUUCGGUUUCAAUGGUGCCCCAUCUACAUGAUUGAUCAUUUCUUCGCAGGAAUGAAAACAACACAACGUAGUGAAAGAAUGAAUAGUAUAGUCAAAAUGAAAAUAAGAUCAUAUUACACACUACUAGAAUUUCACUCAAAAUACAAAUAUGUCAUGUUAUCCCUACGUAAAAAAGAAAACUCGAAGGAUCAUCAUGGUCAGUAUGUACCACAGAAAAUAUUAACUUCAUUGGUCAUUGAAAGGCAAAUGUGCGAACUUUAUACACAUGAGGUAUUCAUUGACUUCCAAGAUCAGACGCUUCGUAGUAUGCACUACUUCAUUAGACCUAGACACAUGGAAAAUCAGGUAACUACAACAAGAGCAAUUAUUUUAUUGAUUUUGCUAAGGUAACACAAUAUCAACUUCAAAUAUUGACUUCCCUUCUUGCACUAAUUAUCGUGGCCCUCAAAUUCUUUUCCAAUACAGAUCUUCGACGCAAUAUCCAAUGGAUCAUUCGAGGUAUCAGGUACUAUCCACAUCAGGGAAGAGGGUGUGUACGCAAAAUGCACUUGCCGUUUGUUCGAAUCAUUUGGAAUUCCAUGCAGGCACCUCAUCUGCUACCUAACACUGAACACCAUAUCUAUUUUACCAGAAACAUUAGUGUGCAAUCGGUGAAGAGCUAUACAAAGAAAAAGGCCGACGACAUCAAGCAAUACAACCGAUUUAAAGGACACUGAAAAUCUACGACCAUUAUUCAAUCACCUUAUCUCGUUAGCAGGUGAGAGCGAGCCCAAAAUUAUCUACACAAGGAAAAUAUUAGAGGACGACGACAUUAAAUCCAUUACGGAUAACCAAACAGGAAGCGACAUUGCCAAAGUUCAUGGCUCAAUAACAAGAUUCCAUGAUUCGAACACACAAAGCAUCGAUAUUGGCAAUCCUGAAAUGGCUAGAACCAAGGGUUGCGGAAAUGGAGAGCGUCCAUCCAAAAAAUCAGAAAGAUUCAUUUCCAAAAGGAUGAUCAAUAUGCCAAAACAAAGAUCGUGCUCUAUCUAUGGAAUCAAGGGACAUGACAAACGUUCAUGUCCAUCAAAAGAUCACAUUUAUCAACAAGAGUAAGAAGAAACCAUAGAGAUCACAUGUCCAAAAUGUGUUUGAAAUGCAAAUUUGGAUAAUUUUCUUUGCAAAUCUAUGUAAUUUAAACAUUCUAUUGAAUGAUAAAUUGUUUUUCAACGUUAGGCAAAACAUUUUAAUACCUCAAGGUCAUGGAUAAAUUGUAAUCAUACUAACACAAUAAAUAUUCAUGAUACCCUACUACACUAACAAAUAUACAAAAUAAGAACAAUCAAAACAUUUCAAUCGUCGUUAUCAUCAUACGAAUUCCAUCUAACAAAGACCAUUUUGUUGCAUUCAAAUCUUUGUCUAGUCCAUAACCUACAUGACCUAAAGCUAACGCCUCAAUUGUCAACAACAUUCGCAAACCAUUGUUGUCAUCUUUACAUUUAACCUGUGGGAACCGCGGUUCAACGAUCCUCUGCCAUUCCUUUUCAUUGAAUUUGUCAAAGCGUAAUGUCAGAUAUGCAUUCAUCCAACCAGCCUGCAUAUUGCGGAAUGUAUAAACCACUACGAGCAAUGCAAAAAAAAUAAUACCAAAAAUUAAUACAAUAGGAAUUUCAUUCAAUACCACUCGAAGAAAUUCUCGAUAGUGUUUGGCUUGAUUCUUUCUUGAGUUAUAGUGCGUCAUUGUGCAACCAUCAAAAUUAACAGUAAGAAGAUGUCAAUGGUCGCCUUGGUUUAUGGGAACAAAGAUUUUAUCAAUUUGUAAAUCAUUUACUUUAUCGGUCAUCAUCUCCAUAUAGAACUGGGUUUCCAAAUUACCACUACCACCUAUGUAUCCCUUGUAUUUCAAGAAUGUGUUUGCGGGAAGAAUUUCAUAACAUGCCCUAUCUUUACCAUCUAUCGCGACUUUGUUAAGUAUGACCUCCGCAUACAAAUCAAUCAACCACAACACAGUACAUGCAAUAAUUGUUAGAUAAGUCAUGAAAACAUACGAUACUAUAAUAAAAAAACAUAAGCAAUUUUAUAUUUGUAUGUCAAUAAACCUCGACACCAUAUAACUUGCUUUCUAAAAUAUGCAGGACCUGCUCCCUAGUGCAUCUACGCCCUUGGUAUUCAAUAGUGCAUCUUCUUUUUCUACAAAUUUGAAUGGACCAUCCAAUCAUCAUAGUAAUCGAAAAAUAUAAACCAUACAUAGAUAAUUUCAAAUACCAAAACAUGCCCUAUCAUCUGUAAUUCUUUCGCAAAACCUAUCCGAGAGUAUAUUUUCUUCCUCUAGUUUUUAUAUUUCUUUAGAUCAUCUGCCUCUUCCUUCAUUACAGCAACCUCAAGUUCAGCAAUUCUCUCCCUUUCUAACCGAUUAGUCCUCUGCACCAAAAUAACAAACUUCAAUAACAAUACAUAUGAAAAGACACAAAUAAAUAAACAUCAUUAAUUGCAUAACCUGGAGCUCUCUCUUUUUCUUAAUCCUUUGCACUCUAGAGGGAACAUCUCGUUUCAAUACAUCCUGCUCUCCCGCAUUUCGACCAAUCAAAUCCUCUCCCCGGACAGCCAUCUUUUCCAAACGAUCUGCACUACCCUCUUCAUCAGUCCCCAACUUGUGAACUUCGUGCGGAGAUGCACCUUCAAUUUCUAACUGAUUAACAUCAAACUUAUGCAUAAGAUCUCCCCCACGACCCUCUACCUCACUCCAUAAAUUAGGAAGCCCAUCCACAUAUAUAAUAAAUCCAUCCGCGUCAACUACGAAUGGAGUAUCCAUCGGAGGACCUCGAUCUUCAGGAUAACUAGGGAGGGUAGCGAUAAGGUAUCCAGGAUUAGUUCUUUUUCGAAAAAUAUUGUCGCGUCUGUCCUCACUGCAGUCUACUUGAAGACCCCCAGGCUCUGGGUUUCCAUAUAUGUCUAUUUCUGAAAGACCAGGGUAACUAGAGAAAAACGACGUUUUCUUGGUUGCUUCGUUACCAAUUGAUUCUCCCUGACUGCCAUUGCUAUCGUAGUCCAAACAUACUUCCUGACCCUCAUUGCAAGGAUAAUACCACCAUCUAUCAGUCCCAACAGAUACAUCUUCAGACUUUCUGUGAAUCUCAUCGGAAAUAUCUGGAUCUUGAGGAUGUCCCACUAUCACAUCAUCCACAUUAUCCAGCUCUUCAAGAAGGUUCCUACCACGCAUUGAGCGAUCCAUAUCCGUUUGCCUUCUUGGUUUGUUGGAAGACUCACUACAGAGAUCACGACCGACAAUUUCAGGAGUACGAAGUGAACUAGAAUUAUGAGUCAGAUCGUCACUAUCAUCAUGCACACUAUCAUGAACCUCGUUCGAUGUACAAUCGUGGUCGGAGCUGCUCGACUGACCUUCGGUAGACGUUUCGGUUUCCUGAUUUAACUCCAAGAUUGUGAAAAAAUAGAGAACAUAAUAAUAGAGUUGGAAUUGACAAAAUCAAAAUAUUAAAUCAUCAUUUUAAUUGUCAAUUUUAGAUCCUUAAUAUACUAGAAUAAAAAACUCAUGCAUUUACUUAGCAGCAUUGAGUAAACCUAAAACUUCGGAUCAUAAUACAUGCAUGCAUUGCAAAUUUCAAAUAUAAUCAACAUCAAUUUAAUUUGGACCUAAACGUCUCCACUAACCAUGUCCGCAUCCUCUGCAGCUAACUUGUACGUCCGAGGAACUUCGGAUAUUGAGGACAAAUAAAAGGAGAAAUGAAAUAGAAAUAGUGGGGAAGAAUGACUAUAGAAAUGGAAUAGAAAUAGUGGGCAAGAACGGGGAAGAACAAUGUUAAACCCAACACACAUCACACCCAAAAAUUUCAGAAGCAAAUAUAAGGUCAUUAACUAUCAAAACACAUACCGAACAGGGGACGCUUCUGCUGCAAACUGUUAUUUGCGCACUAAGUGCGAACCAAAUCCCCACCAGAAGCGUCCCAUUUGUAAGACUUUAAUUUUAUGUAAAUGAUCUAAGCACUAUGAGGAAAUGAAGGAACAUGGAAAUGAAAUAAGGAACUUAACCUAAUCUUAUGUAAAAGGAAAAAAAAUUAAAUGAGGGAUUAUAAAACAUCAGAACCGAUUUUUAACAUUAGAAUGAUCAAAAACAAGGGAAAAAACCAAGAUCAAGAUAGAAUAAACGUGAAGCAGCAAAACUACUAAAGAUUAGGUGAAAAAAUAGAAAAUCAGAGUAAACUCAUCCUCAAGAUCAAAUAUAGAAGGUAAAUUAGGGGGGACCAGAACCCAUUUGUAAGAAUUUGAUUUUCGAAAAGAGGGGAAAAAAUUUUAAACACUGCUAGAGAAACACUGCUAAAAAAUCAAAACAACAAGAAAUACGAAUUAAGAAAUGGAAAAAAAAUUACAAAACAUACGAAAAAUACCUAAACUGAUAUAGACGCAAAGAGGAAACCGGGAAUGAGGAAAUGAAAAAAUGACGAUAUCAGGAGAUGAGGACGAAAAAACAUAACCGGAAAUGAGUGAUACCUGGCCGGAAACUUCCCAUCACGAGCACCGGAUGUGUUCGACAUGACGUACUACGGAAGGAAGAUUGAAAAACGCGGCUGAGAACAGAGGGGCAACGAAAAAUAGAAGAGGGAAAAUGAGAUGUGGAUGGCAACAAUUAGACUGUGUUUCUGAUUUCAAUAGGGGAUUGCUGGUAAAGUGAAUUCAACCAUGCGUCCACCGGUCUGUUGGAGGUUCAGCGUACUAUUGUCUGCAUGAGUGUCCUUCAAUCUGGAAAAUACUUACAUCAACAAUGGACGGUUAAAAUCAAAUUGGUUGGAUUGGACGGUCAAGAUAGAGUUCUCAGAUAGUGCUCAUAUAAAGGUUUUUAGUAGAAGCGUUCUGUAAUUUAUUAUAUAUUUAUCCAGAUAUUAAGAUAUCCGAAUUCGAAUAUCCAAAUCCGAAAUUCUUAAACGAAUUCGGAUUUUAUCGACGGAUUUUCUGGAUAUCCGAAUCCGACCGAAUAAAAUUCGGAUUUCAAUUCGAUAUCCAAAUCCAGAUUCGAAUACACAUUUCGGUAUACGAUUUACAGACUUGGCCAAGUGGAUAUGCGUCCUGACCUCAACUAAUUUGGUUAUCCGCCAGGAACAACACGAAGGUCCCUCGAGGUACGCCCGAUGUAAUUUCGACGACAUCUAGCACAGUUAUCGUUACUCGUCAGGUGAAAACAGGUAUCGUGCGUGAUAAUUUUUGAUUGUCCAUCCGUUUGUGGAUGAAAUCUGAAUUAGAGUUGUGAUAUUAGUUCUUAUUGUAAGCUCUUCAAAAAUUUAGCUUUCAAAUACUUAGAUUUUACACACAAAAAUCAAAUUUUAAUUCUUUCUAUCACAUCAUUGGUUAUGGUUCAUUGUCUAAUUGAUCGAAUAGAAUAGUACAUUUUAUGAUAUUAAUUUUCAAUGGAUUAAAAAAUCAUAGGAAUGACUAAUGAUGUGACAAAAUAAAAAAUAAAUAAUACACAGAUUUUAGGAUAAUUAAAAUAUAUAUAUUAAUUACCUUUAAAUAUAAUUUUAAUGUUGACAUAAAACUCCAUUUUUAACCAGCAAAUACAAUCUGUAAAAAAACAUUAUAAAAAUAAAAUACACAAUUUCAUUAAUAACUAAAAAUACAGAAAAUGAAGGACCAACAAUAAUCCGUAUGUUUUGUAAUUUUUUUGUGGAUAAAAAUGGUGAGAACUUUAAAUCCAUGCCCUUCAUCUACAUCCAAUGGUCAUUAAUAUAUUUCAUUAUAUAUAUUUUUUGGGGGGAAGAUCCCAAUGCAUUAUAUUUUUUUUGUCAUUAUUCACCUAGUACAUCCCUUUGUCCAAGGUAUUUUUUCACCAUUCACAUUUGUUUUUCUCUCCUACUUUUCACCUACUUCCUCACUUUUUUUUUCCCUUUUCUCUCACUAACGUUUCUUCCCCUUCCUUCAUCCCCUUCUCAAACUCUAUUUCCUCCCUUUCCUUACCUCUAGUGUCUUCUUCCAUUUCUAUUAAUCUCUCCAUCCACUCAAAAAAAUGGUCAUCGGCUCUCCACUAAUAUCUGCUUAUGUAUGCUUACGGUUUUUCCCCCCACCGUAUUCCUUUCUCAUUUACUUAUUUUCAGCAAUUGGGUUUGCACUAUUUAUACAUUCAUCUCUUUUUCUUAGUCAACAGUACAUAGUGCACUACGCACAGUAAUAGUGCAGUGUAAAUAUCCGAGACUCACAUUCGCUGACACAUUGUACAAAUUACAUGGAAGUAGUGAACAGUGAUUUUAAUAUUGCAUGACAUAGUACACAGUACAUAGUGCAAAACACAUAGUACAUAGUGCAUAUCGCAUAAGAUGCUAAUAGUGCAUGUCUGACACUUCGCACAUUCAAUAUUAGUACGUGCUCCAUAAUAACUACUAAGAUUGGAUGACCUACAAUCUCGAUCAUAGCAUGCAUCCAUAGUUCAUAUUGAAUAUUACAAUGUGCAUAGUGCAUAUUACAUCAAUGUAAUUUCUACAUUCAAUUAAAUGUCAACUAGUUUUACAACUAUUCAAAUCAGACUACUAUACAAACAAUUAUUCAAAAAAUUUAAUUGUCAUAACAUCUCAAUCGUCAAAAGUAGUCAUCAUACGAAUUCCGUCUAACAAAGACCAUUUCGCUGCAUUUAAAUCUUUGUCUACUCCAUAUCCCACAUGACCUAAAGCUAACGCCUCAAUUGCUAACAACAUUCGCAAACCAUUAUCGUCAUCUUUACAUUUAACCUGUGCGAACCGCGGCUCAACUAUCCGUUGCCAUUCCUUUUCAUCGAAUUUAUCAAAUCGUAAUGUCAGAUACGCAUUCAUCCAACCUGCCUGCAUUCCGCAGAAAGUAUAAACUACUAUAAGCAAUGGAUAUAAAAUAACAAAGAAAAAUUAGUGAUGUUUUAUUUUAUUUCAAUACCACUCGAAGAAAUUCUCGAUAGUGCUUGGCCUGAUUCUUCCUAGAGUUAUAGUGCGUCAUUGUACACCUAUCAAAAUUUACUGUAAGGAGAUGUCAGUGGUCACCUUGGCUUAUGGGAACAAAUAUUUUAUCAAUUUGUAAAUCAUCUACUUUAUCAGCCAUCAUCUCCAUAUAGAACUGCGUUUCCAAAUUACCACUCCCACCUAUGUAUCCCUUAAAUCUCUUGAAUGUGUCUGCAGGUAGAAUUUCAUAAGAUUCCCUAUCUUUACCAUCAACCACGACUUUGUUUAAUACGACCUCCGCAUACAAGUCAAUCAACUAUAAUACAGUACAUCGAAUAAUAGUUGGAUAAUUCAGGAAAAAAACAAUGCUAUACGAACAUGUAAAUACCAAUUGAACAUUUGUAAUUGAAUAAACCUCUACACCAUAUAGCUUGCUUUCUAAAAUAUGCAAGACCUGCUCCCUAGUGCAUCGACAUCCUUGAUAUUCAAUAGUUGCUCUUCUUUUACUACAAUUUUUUUGGACCAAUCCCAUCAUCAUAGUAAUCAAAAAUUUAAACCAUAUAUAUAGCAUUUUAAUUUACAAAUCAUACCCAAUCAUCUGCAAUUCUUUCGCAAAACCUAUCCGAGAGUAUCUUUUCUUCCUCUCGUUUUUAUAUUUCUUUAGAUCAUUUUCCUCUUCCUUCAUUACAGCAACCUCCAGUUCCGCAAUUCUCUCCCUUUCUAACCUAUUACUCCUCUGCAACAAAAUGACACACUUCAAUAAAAUUAGAUAUGAACAGACACAAAAAAUUAAAAUUCAGCAAGUUAUUAACCUGGUCCUCUCUCCUCUUCUUAAUCCUUUGCACUCUGGACGGAACAUCUAGUUCCGACAAAUUCAGCUCUCUCGCAUUGCGGCUGAUUAUUUCCUCGUCCAAUACACCCUUCUUUUCCAAACUAUCAAGACGUACCUCUACACCAGUCCCUUUCUUGCUAAUUUCGUGUGAAGAUGCACCAUCAAUUUCAAACAUCGUGUGGGGAUGUUCUACAUCAUACCUACGCAUAGAAUUGCCCGCAUGGCCCUCAACCUCACUCCACAAAUUAGGAAUCCCAUCCACAUACAUAAUAUAUCCAUCCGCGUCAACUACGAAUGGAGUAUCCAUUUUCGGACCUCGUGAAUCGGGAUAACUCGGUAGUGUAGCAGCUAGGUAUCCAGGAUUACUUCUUCUUCUAAAAAUAUUACCCCGGCUGUCCUCACUGCAUUCUACUUGAAGUCCCCCGUGCUCUGGGUUACCAUAUAUGUUUAUUCCAGAAAGACCAGGGCAACUUGAGAAAAAAGACGGUUCCUUGGUAGAUUCGGUACCAAUUGAUUCUUCCGGACUACCGUUGCAACUAUUCAAAUCACACUAAUAUACAAACAAUUAUUCAAAAAAUUUGAUUGUCAUAACAUCUCAAUCGUCAAAAUUAGCCAUCAUACAAAUUUCGUCUAACAAACACCAUUUCGCUGUAUUCAAAUCUUUGUCUACUCCAUAUCCCACAUGACUUAAAGCUAACGCCUCAAUUGCUAACAACAUUCGCAAACCAUUAUCGUCAUCUUUACAUUUAACCUGUGCGAACCGCGGCUCAACUAUCCGUUGUCAUUCCUUUUCAUCGAAUUUAUCAAAUCGUAAUGUCAGAUACGCAUUCAUCCAACCUGCCUGCAUUCCGCAGAAAGUAUAAACUACUAUAAGCAAUGGAUAUAAAAUAACAAAGAAAAAUUAGUGAUAUUUUAUUUUAUUUCAAUAUCACUCGAAAAAAUUCUCGAUAUUGCUUGGCCUGAUUCUUCCUAGAGUUAUAGUGCGUCAUUGUACACCUAUCAAAAUUUACUGUAAGAAGAUGCCAGUGGUCACCUUGGCUUAUGGGAACAAAUAUUUUAUCAAUUUGUAAAAAAUCAUAAGAAUGACUAAUGAUGUGACAAAAUAAAAAAUAAAUAAUACACAGAUUUUAGGAUAAUUAAAAAAUAUAUAUUAAUUACCUUUAAAUAUAAUUUUAAUGUUGACAUAAAACUCCAUUUUUAACCAGCAAAUACAAUCUGUAAAAAAACAUUAUAAAAAUAAAAUACACAAUUUCAUUAAUAACUAAAAAUACAGAAAAUGAAGGACCAACAAUAAUCCGUAUGUUUUGUAAUUUUUUUGUGGAUAAAAAUGAUAGGUAUUUAACGGUUGUAAAUAUCAGAAAUUUUCAAUAAACUAAUGAUUCAAGAAAAACAUAUUGGUUCAAUUUAGGAAGAUUUGAUUUCAAAACAAAAGGUAAACGCAAGGAUCAAAUUAUUAGUAUGUAUUAAAUAUAAACAUGUGCAGGUUACUGUUAGAAAGAAAGAAAGAAAAUCCAAAUCGACGAAGCUAUAGAUCAACAUAUGAAAACACCCUAAAUAAAAUCGAUCAGCGUAUGAAACCACCAAAUCAAGGGAUUAUAGGGAAUCGAUCCAACAUGACAGACAGAAACUACAUAUUCCCAAAAAUAAUCACAAAAAAAAACUAAGAAAGAACAAACCACAACAUAUACAAUAAUCAGAAUAACUAAACAAUCGAUAGAGAAAACUAACCAUUGUAGUUCUUGGAGGACGAUGCUUGGAUGUUGUAAUCGGAAUGAUGGAUUCUGUAGGCAUGAUUUAACAGAAAAAAUCAAACUUAAAUCGGAGAAGCUUUUGAAGAAUGGAGACCGUAUUUGAACAAUGACGGCAGUUCUACGCCCACACACAUUUUAGUAUAAAACCCUAAAUACAUUAUAUUAAUGGGCCUGACUCUUGGGCCUUUUUUAGGUGACCGCUGUCCACACUCAAAUUUUUAUAAAACCUUAUAUAAAUUAUAUUAAAUCGAGUAGACAAUUGCCAACUUAGAUUUUGUUGGUACCAUGGACCGCGGACCGCGGCCCAUGGACCGAACCGGACCGGACGGCCCAUGCGGACGGACGGGCGGGCGGACGAGUGGACGAACGGGGCUGACCGUACAAGCCCACGAGGCCCAAUAACAACAAGUGAAGGCUAUAAAUACCUCGUCUGGCCCAACUGGGGAGGGGGUUGAUAAUUCUGAGAGAGGGAACACUCGAGAGUUGAGGUUGUGGGCUUACACCGGCGAGCACACACACCAACAGUGGUGAACCUGACGUGAACCGAAAUACAUGACGGCCGGAGAGAAAAGGAUGACGAAGAGCGGUUACCAGGUGGGGGAGAGCUCCAAGCGACCCGAGCGGGAGCCGGAGGAGUAUCGGCCGGAGCGACGUCACUCCCGGGACCGAUACUCAGAGGAAGUAAGAGCCAACGAGGAAUGGGACGACGAGGAUAGACUGCGUAUGGAGAUCGAGGAGAUCAGGUACGGCUGGGAGUCACCCGAGAGGCGCCGACACAAAGGGGCGGCAUCUCCACCGAGGGCCAGGAGAACGCGGUCCCGGUCGCGAUCCCGGGAGAGAAGGGAGAAGGAGCGCGAGAAGCUCCGACGAAGAGAGCGCGCGGAGGAGAAGGAUCGCGCGGAGAAAGAGAGCAAACGAGAGAGGAUGCAGCUCGUGGAGCUAAUAUCCAACCUGCAGGAGAGCCAGCGUCAACUGCAAGAGCAAGUCCAUCAGCUCACGGUGACCCCGCAUACCCUGGAGUCGGACGGGGGCGNNNNNNNNNNNNNNNNNNNNNNNNNNNNNNNNNNNNNNNNNNNNNNNNNNNNNNNNNNNNNNNNNNNNNNNNNNNNNNNNNNNNNNNNNNNNNNNNNNNNGGGAGGCCCCGCGAACAAUUGUGGCGACGACGUCGGGGGGUGGCAGUGGGGAGGCCCUGUCACAGCACCGACUGGACGAAGAGUACCCACCGGGCUGGAGAGCCCCGAAGAUCCCCUACUACAAGGGCGAUACUGACCCGGAGGACCACCUGCACUCUUUCAAGACCAACAUGGAGGACAGGACGAAUAGGAGGGACAUCUGGUGUCGAAUGUUCCGAAGGGCCCUUACGGGCGACGCAAUUGCGUGGUACAGGACGUUGCCAACAGGGUCCGUGCACACCUACGAAGGCUUGGUGGAGGUGUUCCGAGCGGCGUUCGCACACCGUCGGAGGAGGCCGAAAAUCAAGGCCGCCCUCAGCACGGUCGUACAGGGAGAAUCAGAGAGCACGCGCACGUACAUGGACCGGUUCGCAAGCGAGGUGCAGAAGAUUGAGGGGAUCUCGGAGGAGGUGGCGCUGUACGCCCUGACGAACAGCCUCCGGCCCACGUUCUUCGCGGGAGACCUAGUGAGGAAGCCACCAAAAACCUUUGCCGAGGCCAUGGAGAGGUCCCACGGAGAGAGCAACGUGGAGGAUUACCUGGGCGCGAAGAUCCAGGAAUGCAGGCGGCAGCAGAGGGGGAAGGGCGCCCCCGUGGGCGCUGGGGGUGGGCAGCAGCAGAGCCAACCCCAACAAACGCAGGCCAAGCCCCCAACGGCGCCGCAGGCGCCAGUGUACAGAACCGGCACCCCGGCAGCAGCGGGACGGAAGGAGGCAGGCCCCGCCCCGGCGGCAAACCAGAGACAGGUUUUCCUGACGUUAUACGGAACAGGAACCCUACCCCUGCCGAGGCCAAUGAGGAAAGACACGGCGGCGUUCAGGGACACCCGUCGGUUUUGCGAAUACCAUGAGGACAAUGGCCACACAACGGCCGAAUGCUUGAACCUCGCGAAGGUCCUCAGUAAAAUGAAGCCCGCGAACGGAGCCCCCCAGGCCCCGACGGCAAACCGCCCGGCGACGAUCCCCACGGGACACCAAGCGCCGAAGCAGGAACCAGCGGACGAGACUAUAGGGGACAUCCUCACCAUCGCCGGCGGCGGCGCCUCGAGAGGUGAUGACCCGUGGGAGGGCCGGCGGUACGCGUCUGACGUGGAUCGGGCAGCAGGGGCCAAGCGUCCGCGAAUAAACCUGGACAUCUCGUUCACGGAGGACGACAUGAAGGACAUUACCACGCCCCACGACGACCCCCUGGUCAUAACCCCCAUCUUCCAAAGGGGAGACAAGUCCAGCGUGCGAUUACACAGGGUGCUGGUCGACACGGGAGCGUCGGUGGACAUAUUGUACUGGAACGCCUUCGUCGACCUCGGUUUGGCCCGAGCAGACCUACUCCCGUGCCGGGCCCCCAUCAGGGGAUUCGGUCAGUCGGAGGUCCCGGUGGCGGGAACAUUCACCCUCCCAGUCACCCUGGGUCGGCACGCCCAGGCCAAGACAGUAGAGGUUGUAUUCACGGUCGUCAACUUCACAUCAGGAUACAACGCCAUCUUGGGAAGGACAGCGUUGCACGCCUUCCAGGCGGUAAUGUCAUCACUCCACCAGUGCCUCAAGUUCCCAACCGAGGCAGGAGUGUGCACAGUCCGAGGCUCCCAGAAAAAGGCGCGCGAGUGCUACUUCAAUUCGGUCGGUGAAGUAAUGACGUCGAACGAGGGCCUACCCCACUCGAUGCGGGAACGCACAGCAAGGCCCGAAUCGGCGUCUCACACGAUUCAAGCGCCCCUCGGGCGGGGCGAAGUGCGAAUGGGAAAGGACCUCCCACAGAACAUCAGGGAAGGUCUAGAACAACUCCUGAGGAAGAACGAAGACCUGUUCGCCGGCGAGUUGGGGGAGUUGGACGGCGUGCCAAGGGCGCUGGCGGAGCACAGACUAGCAGUAGCCCCGGACGCCCACCCCGUCAGGCAGAAAUUACGCCCGCUAAGGGCGGAAAAGAGGGAGGCGGCCGAGACGGAAGUCAGGAAGCUCCUCCAAGCGGGGUUCAUUCGUCCGGUGCGCUACCCCGCCUGGUUGUCCAACGUGGUGAUGGUAAGAAAGGCAGAUUCGGGGUGGAGGAUGUGCGUUGACUUCACCAACUUGAACAAAACUUGCCCCAAGGACAGCUACCCACUGCCGUCGGUGGACCUGCUGGUAGACCAGAGUUCCGGGUGCGGGAUGCUGAGUUUCACGGACGCGCACUCGGGAUACAACCAGGUGCCCAUGGCACGAGAGGACGAGGAGAAGACGUCGUUCAUCACAGAAAUGGGCAUGUUUUGCUUCAGGGUAAUGCCGUUCGGCCUGCGCAACGCCGGGGCAACAUUCCAGAGGCUAAUGGAUAAAAUAUUCAAGGCACAGAUAGGAAGGAACGUAGAAGUGUACGUGGACGAUAUACUUGUCCGAUCAAAGGAGGCCGAAACGCAUUUGGCCGACCUAGAAGAAACCUUCGCCAACAUCCGUAGCGCAGGACUCAAGCUAAAAGCGAAAAAGUGCGCGUUCGGAGUCAAGGAGGGGCAUUUCCUCGGUUUCCGAAUCACGCCCGAAGGAAUCAAGCCAAGGGAAGAGAAAGUGGAGGCCGUAACGGCCAUGAACCCCCCGCGGACGCUGAAGGAGGUCCAGAAGUUAAACGGGAGGGUGGCGGCGCUGAGCAGAUUUCUGCCAAGGACGGCAGAUCGUUUGAAGCCUUUCUUCCAGUUGUUAAGGAACCCGGGACCCAGGGUGGUAUGGUCAGACGAGUGCGAGAGGGCGUUCAAGGAACUCAAGCGCCAGCUUUCGAGCCUGCCGACGCUCCGCCCACCAACAAGAGGAGAGCCACUCACCAUGUACGUAGCAUGCUCGGAGGCGGCCGUCAGCGCGGUCCUCAUCUCGGAAGCGGGAGGCACGCAGAGGCCAGUGUACUACCACUCCCGUUCGUUGAUAGGGGCGGAAGAGAGGUACCCGGAAAUCGAGAAGCUAGCCCUGGCGGUAGUCUCGGCGGUCCGAAGGCUGAAACCGUACUUUCACGCUCACACGGUUACGAUCCCAACGGCUUACCCACUACUGCAACUCCUGCAGAAGCCGGACGUCUCAGGAAGACUAACCAAGUGGGCCAUGGAACUCAGCGAAUUUCACCUAGUAAUCGUGCCAGCAAGGGCAAUCAAGGGGCAGGCGGUGGCAGACUUCAUGGCCGAGUUAGCCCCGAGAGAAGUGGUGGAGGCAGACGAGCAGUGGUGGACGGCCCACGUGGACGGGUCGGCCAGCAAUAGCGGAUGCGGAGCGGGGGUCGUGGUCACAUCCCCGACAGGGGAAAAAAUCGAGUACUCGAUCCACUUCGAAUUCCGGGCGACUAACAAUGCAGCAGAAUACGAAGCCCUCCUUUCGGGGAUCCGGUUAACUCGCGCACUAGGCGCGUCCAAGGUGCACUUUCACACGGACUCCCGGCUCGUAGCCAACCAAGUCAGGGGAGACUUCGUAUCCAAGGAAGACUCUAUGGCGACCUAUGUGACCGAGACAAGAAUGGCCUUGGGCAAGCUCAAAGAAUGGAGGAUCUCUCAAAUAGGGAGAGAACACAAUGGGGAGGCCGACACAUUGGCCAAACUAGGGGCGUCCCCGGGAAAAAAGGAGGGAAGGUGGAUCCGGAUCGAAAACCAAGAACGUCCGACGCCGACCGCCGAUCGCGGGCCAGCCAGAGCGUGCGGAGUAAUAACGUCGAGGGACUGGAGAACGCCGAUCACGAGGUUCAUCUUGACAGGCGAAACGCCGACAGACCCGAUAGAGGCCAGAAAGCUAAGGAACAGGGCGGCCUGGUUUGUAGUGGCCCAGGACAAACUAUACCGACGGUCGGCAGCAGAGGAGGUCCCCCUGCGACUAUGCGUCCCACGUGAGGAGGGGAGGGCCAUCGCACGAAGCCUGCACGAGGGGGCAAGCGGAGCGCACCAGGGCGGCAGAGCGCUGGAGAAGCAAGUAGUCAGGCAAGGGUAUUACUGGCCCGAGUCAAUAAAAGACUCAGAGGAGAUUGUUGGUCGAUGCGACGUUUGCCAGAGGCAUUCGAAUGUCCAGAGACGGCCGUCCACCAUGAUGAAGGCCGUAACGACACCGGUGCCAUUCGCAAGGUGGGGAAUUGACAUAGUAGGACCGUUCCCGCCGGCGUCAAGAGGGAGGAAGUUUCUGUUCGUAGCGGUCGACUACUUCACAAAGUGGGCCGAAGCGGAGGCUACAAACACGAUCAGCGAACAGAAUGUACUGAACUUCGUCUUCAGGAACAUCGUCUGCCGUUUUGGGGUCCCGAUCCAGAUAAUAACGGACAACGGGACGCAGUUCACGGGAAAGAAGUUAAGAGAAUUCUGCGAAGACAACGGGAUCAAGUUAAGCUUCGCACCAGUCUACCACCCGCAGGCAAACGGGCAGGUAGAAGUGACGAACCGAACAAUAACGUCGAUCCUGAAAAGGAAGGUGGGCGAACACCCGGGAAACUGGGCGGACCUAGUCCCAGAAACCAUGUGGGCGUAUCGCACGACCAUCCGAACGCCCACAGGUCAAACACCCUUCGCCCUCGCAUUCGGGAUGGAGGCGGUGGCUCCAGCAGAGUUNNNNNNNNNNNNNNNNNNNNNNNNNNNNNNNNNNNNNNNNNNNNNNNNNNNNNNNNNNNNNNNNNNNNNNNNNNNNNNNNNNNNNNNNNNNNNNNNNNNNGUCCAUCAGGGAUCUCACUUACAAGCGAAGGGUGGCAAGGUACCACAACGAAAGAGUAGCCGACAAAAACUUAGCGCCAGGAGACUUGGUGUUGAGAAACGCCAAGGUAACGGGAGUCGAUCAGACGAAGGGGAAACUGUCACCAAAGUGGGAGGGCCCGUACGUCAUCACGGACGAAAUCCAGCCCGGCAUCUUUCGCCUGGGAUACGAGGACGGGCAGGAGAUAGAGAGAACGUGGCAUGCCGACAAUCUAGAAAAGUACAGGCGGUAAAGUGAGACGCACGCGAAACAAUAUUAUCACUAUUGUAUCUGAUUUUUACGUCGGGCGUCCCCUGACCACGGCACAUGAUGCCCAAUAAGAAGCACCCCGGAGUGCACCCAUUAAAAAGAUUAUUGUAAAGGAAAAGGGGCAGCCCGCCGAAAAGGCCGGCGGAGAAGUCUUGAGGUCGGACGACCACAUGAGACAAUCCGCACGGCCCAGGCCGCUCCCCCGAGUAAGCAAAAGCUGGAGAAGCCCGCCGAAAAGGUUGGCGGAGAAGUCUCAAGGUCGGACGACCACGCGAGACAAUCCGCACAGCCCAGGCCGCUUCCCCGAGCAAACGAAAACCGGAGAAGCCCGCCGAAAAGGCCAACGGAAGGUCCCCGGGNNNNNNNNNNNNNNNNNNNNNNNNNNNNNNNNNNNNNNNNNNNNNNNNNNNNNNNNNNNNNNNNNNNNNNNNNNNNNNNNNNNNNNNNNNNNNNNNNNNNNNNNNNNNNNNNNNNNNNNNNNNNNNNNNNNNNNNNNNNNNNNNNNNNNNNNNNNNNNNNNNNNNNNNNNNNNNNNNNNNNNNNNNNNNNNNNNNNNNNNNNNNNNNNNNNNNNNNNNNNNNNNNNNNNNNNNNNNNNNNNNNNNNNNNNNNNNNNNNNNNNNNNNNNNNNNNNNNNNNNNNNNNNNNNNNNNNNNNNNNNNNNNNNNNNNNNNNNNNNNNNNNNNNNNNNNNNNNNNNNNNNNNNNNNNNNNNNNNNNNNNNNNNNNNAAAGAGGCGAGUAAACAAGCGAGCACAUCUCGCGCCCGUGCACGUAACCCUUCCAGAAGCCGAGGCGCUUGGAAUCGGCUAGCAGGGUGGCGUGAUCCUUUUCCAUAUCGGCCAAACGACUCUUGAACUCGGGAACAAAUUCCUCGAUAAAAGCGGCCUGCGCGGCAUCUGCCCGAGCCUUCUCUUCCUCCGCAGCACGGCACAAGUCGGCGGCCAGGAUGUCGCGCUCACGCUUGACGGCGUCCAACUCGGUCUUUGUGGCAUCAAUGGUGGCCCUCGCAGCGGCAAGGUCGGCUUCCGCGGCAGCGAGGUCGGUCUUUUGACGCUGAAACUCCCCGUCCAGUUCGGCGCCCCGUUCCAGCCGAACCUGGGAGAGGACCGAAAGUUGCAGCAGAUGAUGGUGCAGAUCGAGGUCGACGGCCGAAAGGGGACAGGCGCGCAGUCGGACGUACUCAUCUUCGGGCGUCAUCAGGGAGCGAGCAUCCGCAAGCUUUUGUUUAAGGAUCCCACCAAGGCGCGGCAAAAGGGUCACGGAAUCGACGGGGGCGGUACAGCCGUCGAGCGUCCUCUGAAGAUCCUUCAUGACAGCCUUGAGGGGCUCGUCUCCAAAAAGCCCGCUUUCCGACGCGGGCGCAAAGAGGUGGUCAAAGGCCCUGUCGGACGGAAUGCCAGAGUGGCUGGAACCAAGGCUGUUCUCAGAAGCGUCCAAGUCUUCAACUUGGACCGCAUCCUUCGCCAGGGAGGCGGCGACCGACUUUCGUUUCAAGGCCCGAGCUUUCUUCCUUUGCCGUCGGUCGGACCGGCUGUCUCGAAGGAGGGAGUCCGGGGCACCAGGAGCGGAGGAAGCAUCACGCUGGGAGUCCGGGGCACCGACAUCGAGGGUGUUGAGGGGAGACGCAUUAAGGGGAGUCUCGAAGUGAACUUCGUCGGCUUGCCUUUUCUUGUUACGUUUAGGCGGCGGGCCGUCCCGAAAGUAAGGCGUCUUCACGGGCAAAUUCAGGUGGUCGUCGUAGGACCAGGUGGCCAACGUCCGGGCGUUGACGGGCCCGUGGCGAUAAACCUCGACGAGAACGUCUUGAGCAAGGGCGGCCAUGGGAUCCAAGCUGUCUCGGGAAGGAACGGCGGCCCGCUUCAGGGACGACAACAUAGUCCAGCGCGUGGGGAUAUGCACGCCCGAGUGCGACGUUCCAAGAGCACUGACGGGGACGAAGAAGAAGCGGUCCCGCCAGUGAUGAGACCGGUCGACCAGCCCGUCGAAGAGGGCGCCGGUGGAUCGCUGAGCGACUAACACACGGCGGGGAUCGGUGGUCAUGGAGGUCAUCGUGAACCACGUCAGGAAGACCGGUAGAGAGACCUGGCAACCGGCGCGACGCAAGAGAAGGUCGAAGAUCACCAGGCGGUCGAUGGCCGCCGGAGGAAACUGAGAAAUAGUCACGCCGCAGUAAGACAUCGCUUCGGUCACCAAAGACGGAAGCGGAAGAACAAGACCGGCAUCGACAAAGGGCGUGUAAAGAGCGACCAGGCCCGGCGGCGGAUCCGAGGCAAGACGCUCGCCAGCAACAGUGAAGGGCAGGUCGGGCUGGCCCAUCUUCGCCAGCGCCUCCCGGAUCACAUCGACCCCGACGGUGGACAGAGGGUCCUUGGGGGAGGGAGCGACGAAGAGCGUCGAAAUCACUUUGCUAGCCGGGGUUCGUGCGCCAUCGCGGCCGGAGGAGGAAGCGGAGGCCAUUAGCAACCUGGGAGAGAAGGUAGGAGAGAAUAAAGGAAAGGGAAGAAAGUCAGUCGCGAGAAGCGAAUGAGGAUUUAUAUAGGGGUUAAGGAGGGCACGGAAGACGAAGCGUCGCGUACCCGGAUUGGUCAGAAUCGGAUGGGCCGGGAGGCUCCCGAGGGAGCCCAAGAACCGGCCCGUCGGGGGCAAGGGUGAAGAUCAGGGACCGACGCGGUCGGCGGAGCGGGGGAGAGGCGCCCGUGGUAGGCUCGGCGGGGUCCAGCGACCGAACGAUGCAGGAGGAGCGCGGUGGGGGAGUCCAGAUGGGCCGACGGGCAGACCCCACCAGCGAAACGACGUAGCAGGGCGACGCUUGAGCCGGCNNNNNNNNNNNNNNNNNNNNNNNNNNNNNNNNNNNNNNNNNNNNNNNNNNNNNNNNNNNNNNNNNNNNNNNNNNNNNNNNNNNNNNNNNNNNNNNNNNNNGACGGGAGCAGAGCUCGAGAAGGAUGCGGGCAACGUCGACAGAAGACGCCGAGAUGCGCGAAUCUGCACGGACGUGCGAAGACAAUUAAAGCGAAAGGAAAAAAAGAGGCAAAGGCAUUUUUCAUUAAAGUAAACCAAGUGUUACAAGCGGCCGGUGGCACGGCGGGAAAAAGUACACAACGCACAACAAAAGCUAAGUCUGGAUACAAAAAAGAAAUAGGAANNNNNNNNNNNNNNNNNNNNNNNNNNNNNNNNNNNNNNNNNNNNNNNNNNNNNNNNNNNNNNNNNNNNNNNNNNNNNNNNNNNNNNNNNNNNNNNNNNNNNNNNNNNNNNNNNNNNNNNNNNNNNNNNNNNNNNNNNNNNNNNNNNNNNNNNNNNNNNNNNNNNNNNNNNNNNNNNNNNNNNNNNNNNNNNNNNNNNNNNNNNGGAAGGGGCGUUGGAUCAGCGGCAGCAGCGGGAGCGACGGUCGUACCUUGCGCGCGGGAAGCACGCGAAGUUCCAGCAGAACCCGACGUGUCAGGAUAGGUGACGAGGGGAAGCUCCGCGACAAUGUCGUUGCAGCGAAUCCGGUUGAGGCGACGGUGGACGUCGAUCAACACGGCGUUAAGGCGCUGAGUCUCGGCCACGGCGACACUGUUGGGGACACCAGUAGGCGACAGCAGGCACAGGGCCCAGGUAGCAUGUUGAGCUUGCACUUCGCGGCCAUACUCCUCAAGGAUGUCUCGAGCACUCAUAGCGGAAAAGAGAGGGGAUGCGGAAAAUAAGGCUCUCAAGCAGCCUAUUUAUAGAGAAGCAAAGAAGGAAGGGCCCGAGAACCGAGGAGCUUUAAUGAGAGUAGGUGGGGGUUGAAAGGGGGGUGGACGGCCCCAGGCCCCCGGGCCUGCUAAGGAAGGGGGGAGUACUGUUGGUACCAUGGNNNNNNNNNNNNNNNNNNNNNNNNNNNNNNNNNNNNNNNNNNNNNNNNNNNNNNNNNNNNNNNNNNNNNNNNNNNNNNNNNNNNNNNNNNNNNNNNNNNNCGAGGCCCAAUGACAACAAGUGAAGGCUAUAAAUACCUCCCCUGGUCCAACUGGGGAAGGGGUUGACAAUUCUGAGAGAGUGAACACUUGGGAGAGUUGAGGUUGUGGGCUUACACCGGCGAGCACAUACACCAACAAUUUGGUUAUACGUUUAUGUUUUUUUUAUUUCUCUUUAGUGUUUAGGAUUAUUGUAAUGAGUUUGAUUCAUGAUUGUGUUAAUUUGAUAACUCUAAAUGUUUGUUUACCCUAAAUAGUGUUUACUUUGUAAAUGAGUUAAUUUAGUUUAUAGUUAUUUAGUAAAUCUUGAUUGUAUUAUGUUAGUUUUUCCGCAGCCUCCGAUAGCCGUGCUCGCCUCCGAUUGCCUUACUCGCAUUGGUUGUUAGUUUUGGUAAGAUUUUAGAAAUCGUUUAUUAUGAUAAUUUUUUUUAGAAAUUGUUUUUUAUGAAUUAUGAAUAAAUUAAUUAAAUUUAUAUUUAAUUUACUAUUUUUAUGAAUAAAUUAAAUUAAAAUUACUAUUAUUAUGUUUUUUAAUUAAAUAAAUGUUUAUUUAUUUAAUUAAUUAAAUAUAAAAAAAUUAUUUAUUUAAUUAAUUAAAUAAAUUACUGUUUUUAAUUAAUUAAAUAAAUAAUAAUUUUUUUAAAUAAAUAAAUAGUUUACUGUUCUUAAAUAAUUUUAAAAUUAAUGAAAUUCUUUAUUUUAUUUACUGUUUUUAAUUAAAUAAUUAAUAUUUUUUUAAAUAAAUAAAUAAUUUAUUGUUUUUAAAUAAUUUAAAAAUUAAUUAUUUUGUUUUAUACUUGUACGUUGUAGGUUCUGAAAACCGAUAUUUCGUAAAACUCGGAUUUUGAAGCUAUAUUGCGGUAAAAAAUUAAAUUAAAUAAUUAAAUUAACUAAUUUUUAAAUUAUUAAAUUUAUUGUAAAAUGAAAUGAUUAAAUUAUCAAUUGAAAUAACAAUUAGUAUAUUAUUAAUUGAUUAAAAAUUAUUAAAUUAUUAUUAUUUUGCAUGAAAUUAAUUUGUGAAUAAUGAAAUAUUUGCAUGAAAUAAUAUUUGAUCAUUUUAAUUUGAAAUUAUUUAAUUAAUUAUAAAUUUGUUAAAUGAUUAGUAAUUAUUAAAUUGAAAUAAUAGUGAUUAAUUUGCAUGAAAUUAAAAAUGUGUUAAUUAAUUAUUUAUAAUUAUUUAAUUGAAAUAAUAAUAAUUAAUUUGCAUGAAAUGAAAAAUGUGUUAAUUAAUUAUUUAUAAUUAUUAAAUUCAUGAUUAUUAAAUUAUUUGUUUAAUAAUUAUUAAUUAAUUAAAUAAUUUUUUUUUAGAUUUAAAAAAAUGCCACGGAGAGUGAAGCAAUUAUCUCGUAAGAGGGCUCUACCACCCAAUCCCCAAGAUGCUUUCCGGUUUUAUUUCCCAGUUCAUCCUACACUAGCACCAGUACGUCCAGCACCGGCACCUGUUCGUCCAACAUCGGCCCCUCCCGCACCGCCGGUACCUGUUCGUCCAGCACUGACCCCUCCAGUUCCGCAACCAGCAACUACGAAAAAAGUCGUUUACGAAACAGAUUCGGAAUAGUUAAUUAGACAUUUAAAUAACUUGAUUUUCCCAACUUAAUAUUAAUUGAACUAUAAUUAAUAUUGUAAUAGUCAAUUAAGUUUUAUCUAAUUAAUUAUAAUUCGCUAAAAAUCUAAUUUUUUAGGAUAAUGUCGAACCUCAUGAAAGUACCCGAUAAAGCUUGGAUGAGUUUAGAUCGGUUUUCGAAAGAAUACGGUGAAGGGUUAACAACUUUCACUAAUUUCACCCUUUCGAAUUCGACUCACCCAGAAGGUUAUUUACCUGGUCCACGCUCGUCCUGCACGAAUAGUGAAGUGAUUUCUAUAAAGGAGAUGAGGAAGCAUGUUUUCAUAAAUGGUUGGUUGAAACAUUACGACGUUUGGACGUGUCACGGAGAGUUACCGAGUAGAUAUGGUGAGAAAAAAGUGAAACGAAAAGAGACAGUGCCGGAAACUGGUAACGAUAUGAUUGAAUUGGUUCGUGUGGUUUACGGAGAACAUGUAGUCGAGAAUACAGUCGACGAAGAAUUUCUCGAAACAGAACCUCUAGAAUAUGAGCCUGUCCAUGAAGAUUCAGUCGAUGUAGGUCCAGUCGACGAAGAUCAAGUCGACGAAGAUCCAGAGCACAGAUAUGACGAUUCGUUCUUACGCCGUCUAAAAGAAGGUGAAAAACAGUUAUAUCCAGGUUGCACAGAGUUUUCCAAACUAUCUUUUAUCUUGGAAUUGUAUCAGUUGAAAUGCGACAAUCAUUGAAGUGAUAAAAGUUUUCAGAAAUUAUUAUCCAUCAUGCGUCGUGUUAUUCCAAAUGGGGGAGUCGACCAUUCCGAAAACCAUGUUUCAUGCGAAAUCGGUGGUUCGUGACCUAGGCCUCAAUUAUACGAAAAUCGAUGCAUGUCGCAACGAUUGUAUUUUAUAUCGAAAUGAGUAUGCAGACGCAAAAACUUACCCUAAUUGCGGAACGUGUAGGUGGGUCGUCGAAGGCGUUCAGAAAAACAAAUGUGUUCCAGCGAAAUGUCUUCGUCACUUUCCGUUGAUUCCACGUUUGUAGAGUUUGUAUCUGUGUUCCAAAAUUUCUGAAGACAUGAUAUGGCACCAUUCCAAACGUAAAGACGACGGAUUUCUUCGACAUCCAGCUGAUUCUUUACAAUGGAAGAAAUUUGACGAGGUUCAUCCCAAAUUUGCAUCCGAACCUCGUAAUGUAUGAGACUUGGUUUAGCAACUAAUGGAUUCAACCCGUUCAGUCAGCAAUCUCUAUCUCAUAGUACUUGGCCAGUGACAGUUAUACCGUACAACCUUCUACUUUGGAUGUGUAUGAAGCAACCGAAUUUCAUGUUGUCUCUACUAAUUUCCGGUCCGUCAGCUCUAGGGAACGAUAUAGAUGUCUAUCUUCAACCGCUUAUUGAUGAACUGAAGAUUUUAUGGGCAGAUGGUGUUACAGCUUUUGAUGUGAGUACGCAGAAAUCUUUUAAGAUGUUUGCAUCAUUUCUGUGGACGAUACAUAAUUAUCCAGGAUAUGGUGAUAUAUCAGGGUGGAGCACUAAAGGAAAGUUAGCAUGUACAGUAUGUAAGAAUGACACUGAAAGUAUUCGUUUAGAGCAUGGAAAGAAAGAGAGUUUUAUGAGACAUCGUCGAUUUCUAGAUAUGAAAUAUUAUUACAGAAGCGAUAAGAAAAGUUUCAAUAAUCAGAUCGAAACUAGAGUCGCCCCUAAACGUCUGACGGGUUCUAAAAUAUAUAGUCAAGUUUAUCCAUUUCGAGAUUCAGUAACUUUUGGUAAAAUAUCGAAUGUACCAAAAGAUUGUAGACCGUCGACGAAAAGAACGAAAAAAAUACCAUUGUCCAAAGGAUGGAAAAAAACGAGUAUUUUUUUCGAAUUACCGUAUUAGAAGACGUUGCUUCUACGACAUAAUAUUGAUGUUAUGCACACCGAAAAGAAUGUAUGUGAUAAUAUAUUGAACACUAUUUUGGAAAUGGAUGGUAAAACGAUAGAUAAUUUGAACGCGAGGUUCGAUUUACAAUCGAUGGGAAUCCGAAAAGAACUUCAUCCUAUUCAACGUGGAGAAAAAUGAGACAUUCCGAGUGCGUGUUUCAACUUAACGAUGAAAGAAAAGAUAUUAUUUCUGUCAGUGUUUAAAUCCCUUUGACUUUCCGAUGGAUAUUGUUCUAACAUUUCUAAAAACGUAAAAAUGAAAGAAAGAAAAGUUAUCGGAUUGAAAAGUCACGAUUAUCACGUUAUAAUGCAACAGUUACUUCCUAUUGCAUUACGAAAAUCGACAAAACCUGUAGUGACUUCGAUUCUCGUUGAACUUUGCGGAUAUUUCCACGAUAUUUGUUCGAAGGUGAUCGAAAUCAAACUUAUAGAAUGAUGGGAGAAAAGAAUUAUAUAUACAUUAUACAAUCUUGAAAAAAUCUUUCCUCUCGGUUUUUUUACUUUAAUGGUUCAUCUGACGGUCAAUCUAGCAACCGAAGUAAAAAUAGCUGGACCGGUACAGUAUUGAUAGUCCUGCUGAUGCGUCGCCGGAGAAGAGAGCUCGACUCGACCUUCUACAUAGCCCAUCAGUCCGAACCCAUGGAGCAUCGCCGAAAAUUGGGCUUCCCAUGAGUUAUAGUUGCUCCUGUCAAGUUGAACGCACUUGACAUGUUUGGUGAUUAUCUUCGGCUGUGUAGGAUCGGUCAUCGUCAGAGGUAGGUUUGCGGAAGCAACUUGAUUUUCAUCUGAUACCAUAACAGAAUCGAGUCUUUCUGUAAUUGAUUUUACAGAAGAUCGAUCAAGAGAUUCUUGAGUUCAAGAAUCAGAUUGAGAAGAAUGAAUUUGAUUGAUUUCUUAAUUGUUCAUGCAUCAUUGGUUUUUAUACUUGAUAUUCUAACUAUUUCUAAAACAACUUUACUAACAGAAUACAUAAAAUAGUCUGAUUCUCUAACAGACUAUAAAAUAAAUUACAAGAAAAAUUAAAUAAAAACCUAAAUAAAUAAAAAAAUAUAUAGAUAGAUAUUUUAUAGAUUUUAAUUUUUUUUUUAACCGAGCCAUAUUAUGUUGAUCAUCAUUAUUCAUCAAUAACCUUAAUAGUUACUCUCACUAGUUCGAGACAUGAUACAAAGUUGCAAACUAUCCAAAUGAUGAUAAAUAUUUCAUAAAUAAGGUAAAAUCAAAGAAUGAGUUGCAAAGAACUCACAUCCUUACUAGGAAAAUAAAGAGAUUUUCAAGCCAAAAUCAUUCUAACUAGCCUUAAAUAUUGGUAGGAAAUACUGGUAUCAAUAUUAAUGGAUGUUUCCUGCUCAAAAUCCCCUUAACACAUUCAGUCAUAUCAAGUUCUUUUCCAGGGACGUCGUUGGGCAACUUCCAAUUGAAAUGAUAAAGAAUGGUUGCAAGAACAAGCUCUACAUUAGCAAGACCAAAUGUUAUACCAGGACAAAUUCUUUUGCCAGCACCAAAUGGAAGUAAAUCAAAGUGUGAUCCUUUGAGAUCUAUUGAAUUUCCAAUGAAUCUCUCUGGUUUGAAUACUUCUGGAUUUUCCCAUUUCUUUGGAUCGCGUCCUAUAGCCCAUGCAUUCACAAGGACGUUUGUUUUUUCAUCUAUAUCGUAAUUGUUUAUCUGGCAUUUCUCUUGACUUUGACGAGGAGAAAUAAGUGGCAAAGGUGGAUGGAGUCUGAAGGUUUCUUUAAUGACAUUCUGCAUGUAGCUCAUCUUGUUGCUAAAAGAAUUAUCAUAGUUGUCAGCUUCUGUACUGGUUAUCGAAAACAAUUGUCUAACCUCAGAUGUCACUUUCUUCAUGGUUUCUGGAUUUUUUACCAACUCAGACAUUGCCCAUUCUAAUGCUGAAGAAGCCGUCUCCGUUCCUCCAAUAAACAUGUCCUAAAAAUACCAAUUGCAAUAUAUAUGAAUAUGAUCUUGAAUCUCAUAAUAUGAAAAAAUGCAUUAUAAUUAAACUUACCAACAUCACCGCUUUCAAAUUACUCAUAGUAAAUUCAAACCCAAAUUCAUUCUUCUUUUGAAUUUUGAGAAGAAUAUCAAGAAAGUCUUCAUCGCCAUCUCCCACAUUUUUUUUGUUAUUGUUUGAUUUCUCAAAAUGUUCGUCUAUGACUGUGUUUAGCAUAUGAUCAUUUGUUCUAUACGUCUUUUCAGCCUUCUUCCUCAAACCAGUCAACCAAACGAUGAAGUUCUCCAAAGCAGGAAAGUAAUUAGAAAUAUUGAAACCAAUUAUAAGAUCAACUGUUUCCUUCAUUGAAACCAGAAAUGCCUCCUUUUGUCUAAGGUUAUUGCCAAACCCAGCACGGCUGGCGACGUUGUUGUUAAGAGAAAGAAAUAUUUCACUUAGAUUAACUGGAGUACCGUUGGUUGCAGCUUUUGUAAGAACGUCCACCAUUUCGCAUACUUCUUCUCUUCUCAAUCUGUUAAAAGACUUCACCUUUUUAGCACUGAGAAGCUCAAGAGUGACGAUCUUUCUCAUCUGUCUCCAGUAUUCUCCAUAAGGUGCUAGAAAAAUAUUGGUAUUGUUAUACAUAACAAUUCUAGACGUGAAUAUAUCUGGUCGAGAUGCAAAGUUUGCAUCAUGAGUCUUAAGAACCUCUUUUGCAGCAUCAGAUGAAGAGACGAUAAUAUGUGGAAUCUGACCCAAUUUUAAGUGCAUAAACGGACCAUGCUUCUUGGCUAGAUCUCGAAAGACUCGAGGAAUGUGGUCGUCGCCUGAAAGAAGUAUGUUGUGAAGAUUGCCAAUGAUGGGAAGCUUGGUUGGUCCUGGUGGUAAUCUCUUGUAGUUUUUUGUCUUCACUAGAAUGAACAUCACCAAAGAUAGGAAUGAAGUAAAGAAUAUUAAAGGCCAUGAUGGGAAUUGAAUGCCCAUUGUAGCUUUAAUUCCAAAUUAAUUGUUAAAUUGGAAUUGAAUUAUUUGUGUCUAUGAAUCUCACUUGCUAUUUAUAUAAGAACUGUCACCUUAAUUUUCAACACCCAAUUUUCAAUUCCCAAUUCCAUAAUUCUGAUCAAUUCCCAAUAUAAUUCUCAAUUCCCAAUUACCAAUUCCCAAUUAAUCAAGUGUGGUCAACAUACACUUUUCUAUCAACAUCAAUUCCCAAUUCCCUACACUUAGCAUGUUAUUCAAAUAAAUAUUGUUAGGGUUUGUUAAUUUAAUGUUGUUAAUCAAUAUUAUAUUAAUUUUAUAGAAUAGUUUUCAGGUGAGUCACUCUUAAGUGAUGUAACAUCUCGUAAAUUUAUAGAUUAUUAUUGUAAUUUUUCCCUCUAGUUUAUUAUUUUAAACAAUUAGUUGAAAGGUAUUAUAGAUAGUUUAUAAGCUAGGUUCAAAAACAUAAUUUUUAUAAAACAUAAGACGCAGAAACGAUAAAUUAAUCCUGCAAGUAAAUAAAAAUGGGUAUAAGUUUUGCAUUCAAAACUCGGAUGUCUUUAACCUAACAAAUUAAAUAUUUCAUUAUUAUUUUUAAACUCUUGUCUCUUUUUUACUAUAUAUAUUCAGUUGAACUCGUCCAUCCAGACGCAUAGGGUUCUAAACCCCCUCUUGGGAAUGACUUUCACCAUUCCCCAUACUCGAUCAUGUGCGGAACACAAUCUCGACCAGACUCGAAUCAUCUCGGAGGUGUGAUCCAACCAAACUGCCCCGUCGGGUCAUUCGCCUCGCCAGGCUUAGACUCGAGUUUCCCCCAUGGAUUCGCCCAUUCCAACUGCUUGAAGGGCAUUCCUAAUUAUCUAUAUUUAUAAUUAAGUUGAGGUCCCCCAUGGGUUCACCCGACCAGAUUCUCUCGUCGGGGCACAUUCAUUCAAACUCCCAUAGGGCACAAUUAUUUAGAUUCCCCAAAGGGACAAUAACACAGACUCCCCGAAGGGCACAAUAACUAAUCGGACUUCCCAAAGGGCACAAUAACUAAUCGGACUUCCCAAAGGGCACAAUAACUAAUCGGACUUCCCAAAGGGCAUAAUAGCAUAGACUCUCCAAAAGGUACAUUUAUUCUAACGUAUUUUUUCAGUUCGAUUCCUUGCCUUUUGUCAAACUUUUCGGUCUAUGACUACCUAAUGGGAUCACUUAAACCUACAUCCACAGUUAGGAUUUAAAAAAUUUGAGUCAGACGUGGUAUGUCCACUUGAUCUCUCUUAACCCGUGUGCAUUUGGAUUCGACCCAAUAGAGAUUGAGUCUAAAUCCCAAACGUGAACCAAGGUCUAUGCUAGACCCUAAUAUGAGCAGAAGGUCUCCCUGAGGACUCUUGAGCUCAACAUAAAUCCUUUCCCGACCUCACCUGUACACCCAAGACAUUCUCGAUCUGCCUCUAGCUGGCUCCCAGCUUUCUCGAUCAAUCACCCUUACCAGGUGCACUUGAGUUCAAAGUAGACCAUAAGGUGAACUAAAGGUCUCCCUAGGGACUCUUUAAUUUAUCUUAGGUGUCACCCCUAACCCAUGGUUGGUCCAAUUAACAAGGUUUAUCUAAACCUUUGGUCAAACCGUCACCAAAUCAAUUUGAUGUAAUUCUUUUUAAUUACAUCUAUUACAUUUUCACCCUUGUUUCUUUUUAAUUAAAUUUGCAAGUAUUACCAUAGUAGUCCAACUUUAAUUGAGUUACUCAAAUAUUAAAUGAAAGCAUAUAACUAGCUAUAACAUAUAACAAACUUUCCAUUUAAAUCUACUCUAAAAUCAAUACAAUUAUAUUUACCAUAGUGAUUCACUGGCCUUAAUUGAUUUACACAUUAAAUGUCAAAAUGGAAACACAUAAUAAACUUUUCAUUUAAAUCAAUUAUAGAAUGAAUACAAUUAUUAUUAUAGUAAUUCAUCUUAAAUGAGUUGUACAAAACCAAAAAAAGAAAAGAAAACAUAUAAAGUAAGUUUCAACAACCUUAAGUAAUUAGAACAACCAUAAAAUUUAUGAUAUCUUCAUCUUAUUCAAUCUCAUUAUAAAUAGUAAUAUUUCAUGAAAUAAAGUAAUCCAUGUAAACGAUAAUUAACCCCAAUCAAUUUUUACUAAUUAAAAUUUUAAGCAUAAAUGCAAAAUAUUUUUAAGUAGAAAUGACAUAUGUAAAAUACCCUUUUAUUUAUCUCUACACAAUUUACAUUUUAUUUAGCUCUACACAUAUAAAAUAUCAAUUUAAUCAGCCCAACUCGAUUUCAAUAUUUUAACAUGAAAAAUCUUAAAUCUUAGGAAACAUAGAAAAUCGAUUUCGUUGAACCUACCCUUAACAUAAAAAAAACGAGAUCGAAUUUAAAUGGAUAAUUUUUUAUAAAUAGAUGAAACUUGAUAAAAUCUUAAACAUAUAUAAAUAUCUCAACAAUUCUAUCACAAAUAUAUGCACAUUCAAACAUCAUCUUCAAACAUCAAACUUAAAAUCAUUUUCAUCAUUCACAAUACCUAGCUAAAUUAUGUAUUCGUAAAUAUGUAAUUCAUUUUAAUCUUAUUUGAUGAGUAAGAAUAUAUAAAUACGUAUUCAAAUCGAUUUUAUCAUAGACGUAUUCAUAUUUUGUGUUUAAUAAACACUCAUGCAUUCACAUUUUUAAACUUAAGUGAAACUUACAUACAAAUCCUAAUAUGAAAUAACAUUUUAUUUCUAAAUUUGAGAAUAAUAAUUCAAAGGUGAGAAGAAAUACGUACCUUCUUUCUUGAUUUUUUCUUCUUUCUCCUAAAUCCUUAAGAGUUUAGCUUAACCUCCAACAUACACUAAAGGUCUCGUUGAUUUCUUCUCCUACUUCUUUCUUUUAUAGUGUUUCCUAAGGGUUUCCCAUCCAUCAAUGAUUUUACCUUUUAAUUUAUCUUUAGAUUUUAAAAGUCACAUAAGGUAAAUCAGGAAUUAUUUCCUUCUUUUGUAAUUUUCUUUCUUUGAAUUCAUUCAUAGUUUAAUUGUUAUUUAAUUUGCAACUUAAUUGCAAGUUUUAAUUCAAAUUAUUUCAAAAACUUCCUUUUUACUUGAUUAGGAUCACCUAAUCAAGAUAUAUAUAUAUAUACCUCCACCUCUUCCUAUUCCUAACCCUAGUCAACUAGUGUGGUCAGCUCUAACUGAAUAUAUAGCUCAUUAAUUGAGUUUAAUCCAUCUAAUUUAAUUAACCCGCCAACUUAAUUAUUAUCGAUUCAACUUUGUAGUUAUAUAUGAUUCAAUAAAAAAAUAUAAUAAUAAAAAUGAUUGCUAUAACAAUUUUUUGAUGGAGAAAAUGAGGAAAUUUUUAGGCCAAAACCACACACAAUAUAUAUACUAGUAUUAAAUAUUUAAUUUGUAGGAAAUACAGGUAUCAAUAUGAGUGGAUAUUUCCUACAUAAAGUUCCUUUAACACAUUCAGUCAUGUCAAGCUCUUCUCCCGGCACACCAUCUGUCAUCUUCCAAUUGAAAUGAUAUAGAAUGGUAGUAAGAAAAAGUUCAACAUUAGCUAGGGCAAAUGUUAUACCAGGACAAAUUCUUUUUCCAGAACCAAAUGGAAUUAAAUCAAAGUGGGAUCCUUUGAAAUCUAUUGGAUUUCCCAUGAACCUCUCUGGUUUGAAUACUUCUGGAUUUUCCCAUUUGUUUGGAUCUCGUCCUAUCGCCCAAGCAUUCACAAGGAUGCUUGUCUUUUCUUCUACAUCAUAAUCAUUUAUUUGACAUUUCUCCCUACAUUCAUGAGGAGCGAGAAGUGGCACAGGUGGAUGGAGCCUCAAGGUUUCUUUGAUGACGUUUUGCAUGUAGCUCAUUUCCUUGCUAAAAGAAUUAUCAUAAUCAUCAGCUUCUGUACCGAUUAUUUUAAAGGUUUUUCUCACCUCAGAUGUCACUUUCUUCAUGGUUUCUGGAUUUUUCACCAACUCAGAUAUUACCCAUUCUAGUGUUGUGGAAGUUGAUUCUGUUCCCGCAAUGAAAAUGUCCUAAAAAUACCAAUUGAAAAAUGAUUUAUAGUGUUUCAAGGAAAUACGUACAUAUAGAUCGACUUUAAUUUUGAGUUAUAAAAAAUGAUCAACUUACCAACAUUAUCGCCUUCAAAUUACUCAUAGUAAAUUCAAAGCCAGAUUCAUUCUUCUUUUGAAUUUUGAGAAGAAUAUCAAGAAAAUCUUCAUCUUCAUCUGCUACCCCAUUUUUGUUAUUUUUUGAUUUCUCAAGAUGUUCAUCUACGACUGUAUUUAGAAUAUGAUCAUUUGUCCUAUACGUCUUUUCCGCUUUUUUCCUCAAACCAGUCAACCAAACGAUGAAUUUCUCCACAGCAGGAAAGUAAUUAGAAAUGUUGAAAUCAACUACAAGAUCAAUAGAUUCCUUCAUUGAAACCAGAAAUGCCUCCUUUUGUCUAAGGUUAUUGCCAAACCCAGCACGGCUGGCGAUGUUGUUGUUAAGAGAAAGAAACAUUUCACUUAGAUUAACUGGAGUACCGUUGGUUGCAGCUUUUGUAAGAACGUGCAUCAUUUCGCAUACUUCUUCUCUUCUCAAUCUGUUAAAAGACUUCACCUUUUUAGCACUGAGAAGCUCAAGAGUGACGAUCUUUCUCAUUUGCCUCCAGUAUUCUCCAUAAGGUGCUAGAAAAAUAUCGGUAUUGUUGUACAUAAUAAUUCUAGCCGUAAAUAUAUCUGGUCGAGAUGCAAAGUUUGUGUCAUGAAUCUUAAGGAACUCCUUUGCAACAUCUGAUGAAGAGACAAUGAUAUGUGGAAUCUGACCGAAUUGUAAGUGCAUGAACGGACCGUGCUUCUUGGCGAGAUCUCGGAAGACUCGAGGAAUGUGGUCGUCGCCUGAAAGAAAUAUGUUAUGAAGAUUGCCAAUGAUGGGAAGCUUAGUUGGUCCUGGUGGUAGUCUUUUGGUGUUUUUCAUCUUAAUUAGAAUGAAAAUCCCCAAUGGUAAGAACAAAGAAAAGACUAAUGACCAUGAUGGGAAUUGAAGCUCCAUUGCGCUUAUCUUUAAUUUGUGUGCAAUAUCAUCCAAUAUUUAUAAAAUAUUAGUGUUCCAAAAUUGUAAAAUAUUUCCCACAAGUUAUUCAAGCCUGAAAUUUGAGAUUUUUUUUUUAAAUUCUAACACAAUGAUAUGACUACUAUAAUAAUGAUAAGUCCAGAGUUCGAAUCUUAAUUUAUACAUUUUUACUUAAAUUUACCUGAUAAUAUAUUAUAUGAAUCUAAUAUAUCAUCUGAAGAUUGACAGUUUUACAUCUAUAAAGAGGUAUCUUCAAAAUAAACUUUGCAUACUUUUCAAGAUAAACUUUGAAUAAUUCAUCCAUUUUAAUUUUCAAGAUAAACUUUGCAUACUUUUCAAGAUAAACUUUGAAUAAUUCAUCCAUUUUAAUUUUCAAGAUAAACUGAAAAAAAUCAUUAAAAUAAAUAAAAUCAUAAAACCGAUUUUUUUUAAUUUAUGCACAAAAAAAAAAUUUUAAGGUAAAAAUCCAAAACAAAUUUAAAAGAGUAAUGGUUUGUCAAACCAAAUAUUAGUCUUCCAAAAUUGUAAAAUAUUUCCCACAAGUUAUUCAAAUGAAAGGAGCAAGCCUGAAAUUUGAAUGGCUACUAAUAUUCAAGCCUGAAAUUUGAGAAUUUUUUUUUUAAAUUCUAACACAAUGAUGUGACUACUAUAAUAAUGAUAAGUUCAGAGUUCGAAUUUUAAUUUGUACAUUUUUACUUAAAUUUACCUGAUAAUAUAUUAUAUGAAUCUGAUAUAUCAUCUGAAGAUUGACAGUUUUACAUCUAUAAAGAGGUAUCUUCAAAAUAAACUUUGCAUACUUUUCAAGAUAAACUUUGUGUAAUUCAUCCAUUUUAAUUUUCAAGAUAAACUUUGCAUACUAUUCAAAUAAAAUAUCAUGAAUAAUUCAAUAUUGACAGGGAAUCAAGUGAGAAAAAAAUCAUUAAAAUAAAUAAAAUCAUAAAACCGAUUUUUUUUAAUUUAUGCACAAAAAAAAAAAUUAAGGUAAAAAUCCAAAACAAAUUUAAAAGAGUAAUGGUUUGUCAAACCAAAUAUAAAAGAGUUGCGACCCACAUCAUUGUAAAUACCUGCAUUAAACUGAGAUGUGUGAAACUUUUACUGUUCACAAGCUUCUGCCUAAAACGUAAGAAUAUAGAAUAUGCAAACUUUAGAGUAGUUAAUAAUACAAGCCAAUGUUAAUCAUAUGUUUAAAAAGAAAUUAAUUUAACAGAUUGAAUAAAAAGGCUCUCUGACGUUAUUGAAUGGCCAUAAAACAAUGAAAAAUGGAUGUAGACAAAGGAUCCUUGGUGUAUUCCGUUGACACUUUUGUAAACUGAGCCUCCUUUCAACAAUCAGGAUUUACAUGCAGCAAUUCGAUUAUCAUCGAAUGCCAACUGCUUUGACAAUAUGCUUUUACACAUCCUACAUUGGCGAUGACUGGUGUCGGUUGAUUUCCCUACUGAGAUGAAAAGCUGAAAAACAUUCCUACGAAUGAUAGUGUCCAUCUUGAAAAGGAAGGUGGACGAACACCCAGAGAAUUGGGCGGACAAGAUCCCCGAGACCAUGUGGGCGUAUCGCACGACCAUCCGAACCCCCACAGGCCAGACACCGUUCGCCCUCGCAUUCGGAAUCAAGGCAGUCGCACCAGCCGAACUUGUAUGGCCAACGGCUCGAAUCGAGCAGUUCCAGCCAGGAGCGAACAACCAAGCACUGCUCUUAGAGAACGAGUGUCUGGAGCACCGAAGAGAGGAGGCGUCCAUCAGGGACCUCACGUAUAAGCGAAGGGUGGCGAGGUAACACAACGAGAGCUAGGGUAUCCGAGAAGAACCUGGCGCAGGGCGACCUCGUACUAAGAAACGUCAAAGUGAUCGACGGGGGUGGAUCAGACGAAGGGGAAGCUAUCGGCAAGAUGGGAAGGCCCGUACGUCAUCAUGGACGAAAUUCACCCGGGCAUCUUCCGCCUAGAAUACGAAGAUGGGCAGGAGAUAGAAAGGACGUGGCACGCCGACAACCUAGAAAAGUAUAGGCGGUGAGGACCGGGGCACCACGCGGGUUCUAUCUUUCUUUUGAUUUUGUUUCUCCCUUUGUAUGUAACAUAUCCGACCACGGCACAUGAUGCCUAAUGAAAUGCACCCAGAGUGCCCCCAUUAAUCAAAAAGCACCCGACUUCCAGACUAAGAGCAAAGAAGUAAAAAAAGGGAGCCCGCCGAAAAGGCCAGCAGAAGGUUCCCAAGGUCGGAAGACCGUGCGGGAACGUUCGAACGGCCCAGGCCGCUCCUCGAAGGAAAACGCGCAAUAAGUAAGAAUGGGAAAACGAUACAUUGUGAAAAAGAAAAAAACUCUAAGUGUCGAAAAGGGAGGCAACGCCCGAUCCCCCGUGGCAUAGGCGAGUUGGGAACGAAGGAGCAAAAACAAGGGGGCCCGUUGAAAAGGCCAGCCGAGGUUUCCCGAGGUCGGAAGACCGCGUGGGAGCGCUCGGACAGCCCAGGCCGCCCCCCGAAGGGAAACAUACAACGAGUAGGACAACGAAAAGGAUAUAUUGCGAAAGAAAGAGAAAGAGAAAACAAGCAUCCAAAAUAACGAAAAAAAUUCUAAAUGUCAGAAUGUGUUUAACGAGCGGAAAGCAAAAAAUACACGGCCGAACGAAAGACCACAACAAUCUGAAAAGGGCUCGGUGUACUCAGGGAAAUCGGCUUCGAGGUUUUCUUCUUCACCGUCACUCGCAUCCACGGUGGGCUGAUAAUUGGGGACGCCCGCAGCCUGCCAAUUCUCCCAGUCACGGACGCUUCGAGGCACGACAAGAUCCUCAAGGGGGGAUGAAUGAGGGCACACAUCUUCCGCCUUUCCAUAAGCUGGCGCGUUUUGAGUCUUGGAGCUGAGUCGUAUGAUCUGAUUUCAUCUCCUCCAGACACUCCUCGAAGGUGGGCACGAAUGACGCCACGAAUUCGUCUUGGGCAGCAGUCACGGCGGAAUGAAGGGCAGCUUUGGCUGCGACGGCACGGUCUCUUUCCUCCUAGGCUGCUUUCGAAGCCUCCGCAACCAGCUGAUCCUGCUCCCGCAUGACGGCAUCCCAUUGCGCUGACAUAUCGUCGACCUGUGCGCACAGAUUUUGGAUCUCUUCGUCUUGGCAGAGGCCAUGCUGCAAACGGACCUUGGUGAGAACCGAGAGCUGGAGCAUCUGGUGAUUGAGGUCACGGUCGAUAUCCGAAGGGGCGCGAUUGAGCUGCCGUACGUACUCCUCUUCCGUCCGCAGCCAGGAGUCGAUGGACGAGAGUUUCUUCUUAAAAAUCCCACCGAGGCGGGGCACGAAGGAGGAGGGGUCGACGCCGGCAGCGAACUCGGACGAGUGCUCGCAAUUCUUCACGAACACAUAGAAGAGGUCGGGAUUCAGCCCAUCCUUCAGAAGAGUGGCUUGAAGGUCGUCAGACAGGACGACAGGUCAGGACCGGGGUAGACGCGGUCUCGAACUCCUCAAAUUUCUUUUUCUCAGCCUGAAUCUUCUUCCUUCUCCGUUUUUCAGCCCGGUGGUCUUCAAUUGCAAUGUCGGCCUCAACAUCGGGCUCGUCUUCGGGAUCUCGAGGCGGGGGCGACGGAGGGUGGAACUAGACUUCAAGGGCCCUCUUCUUGUGCGAGCGCUUGGGCGGAUCGUCCCGAGUAUAAUCCACUUCAACUCCAUAUGCUCCGAGUAGCUCCAGGACUGAGCCAACGUCCGAGCAUUCAUGCCCCCACGGCGAUAGAUGUUGAUCAACACUUCGUUCGCAUUUCUCUGCGUCAGAUAAAAAACAAAAAAAAUAACAACAAGUUACAAGUGCGACAGAUAAAAAACAUAGAGAGCGUCAGGGCAUCUCGGGCGCCACACCCACAAAAGCGAGCCCACCAGCCGAGGAGGCACGGGAGUGGGCACGGAUCGCACCAGGGCGGGCCUAACGGCCCGGCUUCAGGGACCCCGACAAGAAAUGGCGCAGGUCAGUAGCCGGAAGGGACGAGGACCCACGGGAGCGCGCGGUGGCCACGCGACUGACGGCGACGGCCAGUAGCCUCAGCAGGAGAAGCCGCAGGAACUGCGAUCGUGAUGUUAGCAUGGAAGGUGUCCGAGGAUCCACGGGAGCCCGAAGCGGCGGCAGGAGCGGCGUCAGGGGGUUCGACAGCAUACCGGCUCGCAAGGAGGUCAGAGCGGCAAUACUGAAAGAGACGGCGGUGGACGUCGAUCAGCACAGCGUUGAGACGUUGGGUCUCUGCCACGUCCACGUGGUUAGGGACGCCGGCGGGCGACAGCAGGCACAUGGCCCACGCGGUGUGCUGAAGCUGCACUUCACGGCCAUACUCUUCAAGGACAUCCUGAAUGUUCAUCACGAAAGAAGGAAAGAAUGAGAAACCAAUGUAGCAAACACCCUAUUUAUAGGAGGGAAGAAAAAGGGAGCAGCUCGAACCUCGAGGAGUCUUUAAGGCUAAUAAAGAGGAGAGGUUGAAGGCCAGGUACGGACGGGAGGUCCCCGGGCUCCGGCCCCUGAGGAGAGGGGGGAAGUAUUGUUGGUACCAUGGACGGCCCCAACGGUUGAUAGACCGAACGAAUAGCCUUCAAGGCCCAGGCGCACAAAUGGGCCCGAAGGAGCAAGUGGGCCGGAGAACCCAUGAGGCCCAGGAGCAAGCAAGAAACACUAUAAAUACCUCCCCUAGUCCAUUAGGGGUCAAGGAGGGGCACUUUCUGGGCUUCCGAAUCACACCCUAGGGGAUCAAGCCAAGGGGAUAAAAGGUCGAGGCCGUCAUGGCCAUGAGCCCACCACGGACGCUGAAAGAAGUCCAGAAGCUGAACAGAAGGGUGACGGCGUUAAGCAGGUUCCUGCCGAGGACGGCGGACCGCUUACGACCGUUCUUCCAAUUGUUGAGGAACCCAGGACCCAAGGUAGUUUGGUCGGACGAAUGCGAGGCGGCCUUCAAGGAACUCAAGCUCCAGCUCUCGAGCCUGCCAAUGCUCCGCCCCCCAGUGAGGGGGAACCUCUUACCAUGUACGUGGCUUGCUCGGACUCGGCCGUCAGCACGGUACUUAUCUCGGAGGCGGAAGGCGGACAGAGGCCAGUAUAUUAUCACUCCCGGUCGCUGCUGGGAGCGGAGGAGAGAUACCCAGAAAUCGAAAGACUGGCCCUAGCGGUGGUCUCGGCAGUCCGGAGGUUGAAACCAUACUUUCACGCCCACACCGUCACGAUCCAAACGGCCUACCCGCUGCUCCAGCUGCUGCAAAAGCCGGACGUCUCGGGAAGACUGACCAAAUGGGCCAUGGAACUUAGCGAAUUCCACUAGUCAUCGUUCCAGCAAGGGCGGUUAAGGGGAAGGCAGUGGCGGACUUCAUGGCCGAGCUAGCCCCGAGGGACGGCGAGAAGACAGACGAGCAGUGGUGGACAACCCAUGUGGACGGGUCGUCCAACAACACAGGCUGCGGCGCGGGGGUCGUGGUAAAAACCCCGACGGGGGAAAAGAUCGAGUAUUCGAUCCAUUUUGAGUUCUGGGCAACCAAUAACGCAACGGAAUACGAAGCCCUCCUAUCGGGAGUCAGGCUAACGCGCGCGUUGGGCGCGUCCAGGGUGCACUUCCACACGGACUCCCGGCUGGUAGCCAACCAAGUCAGAGGGGACUUCGUAUCUAAGAAAGACUCAAUGGCGAGCUAUGUGACCGAAGCAAGAGCGGCCCUGGGCAAGCUCGAAGAAUGGAAGAUCUCCCAGAUAGGGAGAGAGAGCAACGGGGAGGCCGACACGCUGGCCAAGCUGAGAGCGUCCCCAGGAAAAACAGAAGGAAGGUAGAUCCGAAUCGAGAACCAGGAGCGGCCAACGACAGCCAGCAGUCCCAAGUCGACCGGGGUGUGCGGCAUAAUAACGUCGGGGGAUUGGAGAACACCAAUCAGGAGAUUCAUCGAGGCAGGCGAAGUGCCAGCGGAUCCGAUGGAGGCCAGGAAGCUAAGAAACAGAGCAGCCUGGUUCGUGGUGGCCCAAAGCAGGCUAUACCGACGAUCAGCGGCGGAGGAGGCCCCCCUGCGACUGUGCGUCUUGCGGGAGGACGGGAAAGCCAUCGCACGAAGCCUUCACGAAGGGGCAAGCGGAGCGCACCAAGGCGGAAGAGCGUUGGAAAAGUAGGUAGCCAGGCAAGGCUACUACUGGCCCGAAUCAAUAAAGGAUUCGGAGGAGAUCGUCGACCGGUGCGACGAAUGUCAGAGGCACUCGAACGUCCAGAGGCGGCCGUCCACCAUGAUGAAGGCCGUAGCAACACCGGUCCCAUUCGCAAGGGGAUUGACAUAGUCGGGCUGUUCCCGCCGGCGUCAAGAGAAAGGAAGUUCCUAUUUAUAGCGGUCGACUAUUUCACAAAGUGGGCCGAGGCGGAGGCCACGAACACAAUCAAUGAACAAAACGUGGUAAACUUCGUCUUCAGAAGCAUCGUCUCCCGGUUCGGGGUCCCGAUCCAGAUAGUAACGGAUAACGGGACGCAGUUCACGGGCAAGAAGUUAAGAGAAUUCUGCGAAGACAGUGGAAUCAAGCUGAGCUUCGCGCCAGUAUACCACCCGCAGGUGAACGGGCAAGUGGAGGUCACGAACCGGACGAUAACAUCGAUCCUGAAGAGGAAAGUGGGCGAACACCCGGGGAACUGGGCGGACCUAAUUCCCGAGACUAUGUGGGCAUACCGCACGACCAUCCGAACCCCCACGGGCCAGACCCCAUUCGUCCUCGCUUUCGGGGUGGAGGCGAUAGCACCGGCCGAAUUGGUAUGGCCGACCGCGCAUAUCGAGCAAUACCAACCAGGGGCGAACGAUCAAGCGAUGUUCCUAGAAAGGGAGCACCUAGAGGGCCGGAUAGAGGAGGCGUCCAUCAGGGACCUCACUUACAAACGAAGGGCGGCGAGGUAUCACAACGAAAGAGUGGCCGACAAGAACCUGGCGUCAGGUUAUCUGGUGUUGAGAAACGCCAAAAUAACAGGAAUCGACCAGACAAAUGGGAAGUUGUCGGCAAGAUGGGAAGGCCCGUACGUCAUCAUGGACGAAAUUCACCCAGGCAUCUUCCGCCUAAGAUAUGAGGAUGGGCAAGAAAUCGAAAGAACGUGGCACGCCGACAACCUGGAAAAGUACAGGCGGUGAAGCAACGUGUCCGAGACCGGCGAAAGAGUUCUUUUUCUUUUUUCUUCCUUGUCUCGUUUCCCCCCUUCCCAUGUAACGUCGGGCACCCCCCCGACCACGGCACGCGAUGCCCAGUAAAACGCACCCGGAGUGCACCCAUUGUAAAAGGAAAAAAUGAGAAGUAAAAAAUUGGGGGAGCCCGCCGAAAAGGCUAACGGAAAGCUCUCAGGGUCAGGAGACCGCAUGAGACCAUCCGGAUGGCCCAGGCCGCUCCCUCAAAAAAUGGAAAAAACGCAAUAAGUAAGAACGCGAAAGCGAUAUGUUGCGAGGCAAGGAAAAAGCAGGGGAGCCGCCGAAAAGGCUAACGGAAAGUCCUAAGAGCCAAAAGGCUGCAUGGGAACGUCCGAAUGGCCUAGGCCGCUCCUCCCAAGAAAGAAAGCAAUUGAAGUAAGAGAGAAGUUUAGCGUGGAAAAGGACCGGCCGGGACGUUCCUAGCCAGCAAGCUACGCAGAGCACCUAAACGAGCGACAACGCCACCCAGAAAGGACAGGGGCGGUGAGUAAACGAACGCGGAAGGAGAAAAGGUCAGAAGAAGAAGAACAGAGGGCGAUUGAAUACAUUCAAGAUUUACGAAUGAAUAUAAAAACGAAAAAAAGUUAAGUGUUUUUACAUUACAAAGAAAAAGAAGAAAAUAAAAACUGUUCAGGGACGAACGAAGGGUAUUCGAGGGGAGGCUCGGUGUAAUCAGGAAAGUCGGCCUCAAGGUCCUGCUCCUCGCUUUUGCUCACGUCCAGGGGAGGCUGGUAGGAGGGGACGCUCGUUUUUCUCCAUUCUUCCCAAUCUCGGCGGCUCCGGAGCACGACGCCGUACGAAAGGGGCGAGUAGACGAGUUCACACAUCCGGCGCCCGUGCUGAUAGCCCUUCCAGAAGCCGGCACGUUUGGAGUCCUUCAUCAAGAUGGCGUGGUCCUGCUUCAGCUCCGCCAAACGGUCUUCGAAGGUUAGAACAAAGCCCUUAAUGAACUCGUCCUGAGCCACAGCCACGGCGGCGACAAGAGCGUCCUUCGCAACAGUGGCCCGAACCUUCUCCUCCGCGGCAGCCCGGCAAACAUCAGCGGCCAGAAGGUCCCGUUCACGCACGACCGCCUCCAGCUGACCCUUCACCGCGGCAAGCUCGGCGUGCAUCUGCUGAACCUCCUCGUUCUACCGAAGACCCUGCUCCAACCGAACCUUGGUGAGAACCGAAAGUUGAAGCAUCUUGUGGUGCAGGUCGCGGUCGAGGUCCGACGUUGGGCGCGAAAGCAGCCGAACGUACUCAUCCUCCGGCUCCAACCAGGAAUCAAUGUCGGGGAGUUUUUUCUUGAAAAUCCCGUCGAGACGGGGCAGGGAGGACGCAGAGUCGACGGGAGCGGAGAAGUCCAUCGAGUGUUCAAUGCUCCGUACGAAGGAGCGGAAGUGUUCAGGAUCCAAUCCAUCUUUCCGGAGAGAAUCCAGAAGCUCGGCAGACAGGGGGUCAGAGCGGCUGGGUUCAGAGGAGCCUAUGUUUUCCACCACGACCGCGCAUCUCCAGGGCAUCGGCGACAGACUUUCGUUUCGCGGACCAAAUCUUUUUCCGUCGUCGUCGUUCGGCCCGGCUGUCUCGAAGGCCAGUGUCAGACUCGGCCGGGACGUCACCCUCGGCUCCGAGAUCGCACGAAGGCGGGGACUCAAACUGAAUGGCGUCGUGCGGCCGUUUCUGUUUCUGACGUUUGGGCGGCCCGUCCCGAGCGUAAGAUGUCUUGACGGGCAGAGCCAGGUGUGCGUCAUAACUCCACGACUGGGCCAGUGUCCGGGCGUUGACGGCCCCGCGGCGAUAGAUCUCGGUAAAAACCUCAUGGGCGCAUAAUGCCUGGGGCGCCAACGCGUCUCGGCCAGGGGCGGCGGUCCGAGUCUUCAGCUGGGUCAGCAGAGCCCAGCGAGAGGGGAGAGGCGCCUCCGGAUCUGACGGACCAAGGGCGCCCACGGGGACGAAGAAGAACCGGUCCCGCCAGUGGUGUGAUCGGUCGACCAGUUGGUCGAAGAGGGCACCGGCCGAUCUUCGCCAGAGCAUCCCGGAUCACGUCGGCUCCAACCGUGGAUAGAGGGUUCUUGCUGGAGGGGGCGGCAAAAAACGAUUCUGCAAGAGCAGCGCCGGCGUCAGAGCGAGAAGCGGCAGCGGAGCCAGCGGCAGAGGGAGGAGGAGCAGCCAUUAGCAACCUGGUGAAGGAAGGGAGUCGGAGUCGAGGAAGACGAAAAGCGAGGUGAGAGGAAAUGAAAAUCAGUCGCGAGUGAAGAAGGGGAGCAGGGUUUAUAUAAGGGUUCGAGGGCGCGGAAGACGAGGCGUCGCUUACCUGGAACGGAUGGGACCGGUUGGGCCGGGAGGCCUCCGAGGGAGCCCAAGGUCCUGUCCGUCGGGAAGCAGAGUGAAGGUCAGCGCCCGUCGCGGACGGCAAGGCGUUGGAGAGACGCCCGGCGAAGACCCGGCGGCGUCCAGCGACCAAACAAUGCGCGCGGAGCGAGGCGGCAGUGUCCAAGCAGGCCCACCGGCGGGCCCGACCAAUGGAUCGAACGAAACGACGUAACGGGCGAGCCCCCGCGUCGGCGAAGGGGGGACCCGCGGUGGGGAGCGAGGGCAGAGCUCAAGAAGGGCCCGGGCAACGUCGGCAGAAGACGCCGAAUAGCGCAAAGCUGCACCAACGUGCGAAGGCGAAGUCAAAACACGAGAGAAAGAAAAAGCGAAGGAAAAGCAUGUAUUAAAGCAAAGCAAGUGUUACAAUAGCCGGUGGCACGGAGGGAGAACAAAACAUAACAACAACGAAGUACGGGUACAGAAAAAAAGAGGAAAAGGGAUCGCCGGGACGUCCCAGACGUCGCCCCACGAAGGCAAACCCAUAGCCUGAAAAGGCGUGGGAGCGAUUGCGGAUAGCUCCACGAUGGGCCUAGCGGGCCGGCUUCGAUGACCCCGACAGGAAGUGGCGCAGGUCAGUAGCCGGAAGGGACGAAGACCCACGGGAGCGGCGAGGGCCGCGUGACCGACGAGGCUUUCUCAAAAAAUCGGCAGCAGCAGCGACAGCAGGAACGGCGAUCGUACCAUGCGCGUUGAAGGCGCGCGAGGUACCAACGGAGCCCGGGACGGCGGCAGGAGAGGCAUCGGGGUAGGCGACGGCAGGAGGGCUCGCGAGGAGGUCGGAGCGGCGAACCUGGGAGAGGCGACGGUGGACGUCGAUCUGCAAAGCGUUGAGACGUUGAGUCUCAGCCACGGUCACGCUAUUAAGGACGCCAGCGGGCGACAACAGGCACAUGGCCCAGGCGGCGUGCUGAAGUUGCACUUCGCGGCCGUACUCCUCGAGGAUGUUUUGAACACUCAUGGCGAAGGAAGGAUGGUGUGAGAAGUCGAAGAGGCGAGUGGGCUAUUUAUAGGAAGGAGAAGAGGGAGCGGCUCGAACAUCGAGGAGCUUUAAAGGAGAUGGUUGUAGGCGGGGCGAGGACGGGCGGCCCCUGGGCCCGGGCCCGUCGAGGAAGGGGGGAGUACUGUUGGUACCAUGGACCGCGGACCGCGGCCCAUGGACCGAACUGGGCCGAUCGGCGGCUCGGGCGAACGGGCGGGCCCAACGUACGAGCCCACGAGGCCCUAAGGACAGCAGUGGAAGGCUAUAAAUACCUCCCCUGGUUCAAUAGGGGAGGCGGUUGAUAAUUCUAAGAGUGAUACUUGUACUAAGGUUGGACGGCGAGCUUACUCCGGCGAGCCCACACACCAACAUGUGUAUAUAUAUAUAUAACCGAAUAGCUCAUUAAUUGGGUUUAAUCCAUCUAAUUUAAUUAACCCACCAACUUAAUUUUUUUUUAAGGCGAUUUUUAUAAAAUAAAAUUAAAAGAGUACAAAGGAUAAAAAAAACAUAAUGAUAAACGAAAAAAAACUGAAAACAUAGCGUGAAUCUCCAUCGUGUCUAUCUAUGACUAGCUUCGGAUCGUGUUUUCAGUUGAAAUAACUCAUGCCUGAAACUUUUAGAACCUUUAGAGAGUUUCAAUACUUGUCUUCACUUGUCUUCAUCUUUUUCUAUCCCUGCAACUGUCAUCUUUUUCUUCAAUCAUCUUUCCCAUCUAGUAACACAUCACAUUUCCUCUUCCAUUUCCUAGAUUGCAUUUGUCAUCUAACGAUAUAACCUCCUGAUUUCCCUUCUAGAUUAAAUCCCUAGUUUUUCAUCCUCAAACGGGAAGAAAAUUGGUUAAAUCUGAAAGUAACUCAGAACGAAAUCGAAAAAGCUUCUUGAUCUGCGGGCGAGGCCAUACAGCGACAAGGAGAAGUGGCGAGAAGUUUUCUUUCCCUCCUCUGCACCCGAAAAGGAGCAACGGAAUCACGAUCAUAAAAGAAAUGAGAAAAAAUCGAAUAAGUUUCAGGAGGCAAAAAACAAGUGGAGAGAUAAGGAGUUGCGGGUGAGGAUCUAAGACGACGAUCUACAAUGGAGAAGGAAAACGGUGAAAAAAGGGAAGAAGAAAAAGCUUGUCUCCCCCCCCCCUCUCUUUUGAGAAAGGAACCCACCAACUUAAUUAUUAUCGAUUCAACUUUGUAGUUAUAUAUGAUUCAAUAAAAAAAUAUAAUAAUAAAAAUGAUUGCUAUAACAAUUUUUUGAUGGAGAAAAUGAGGAAAUUUUUAGGCCAAAACCACACACAAUAUAUAUACUAGUAUUAAAUAUUUAAUUUGUAGGAAAUACAGGUAUCAAUAUGAGUGGAUGUUUCCUACAUAAAGUUCCUUUAACACAUUCAGUCAUGUCAAGCUCUUCUCCCGGCACACCGUCUGGUAUCUUCCAAUUGAAAUGAUAUAGAAUGGUAGCAAGAAAAAGUUCAACAUUAGCUAGGGCAAAUGUUAUACCAGGACAAAUUCUUUUUCCAGAACCAAAUGGAAUUAAAUCAAAGUGGGAUCCUUUGAAAUCUAUUGGAUUUCCCAUGAACCUCUCUGGUUUGAAUACUUCUGGAUUUUCCCAUUUGUUUGGAUCUCGUCCUAUCGCCCAAGCAUUCACAAGGAUGCUUGUCUUUUCUUCUACAUCAUAAUCAUUUAUUUGACAUUUCUCCCUACAUUCAUGAGCGAGAAGUGGCACAGGUGGAUGGAGCCUCAAGGUUUCUUUGAUGACGUUUUGCAUGUAGCUCAUUUCCUUGCUAAAAGAAUUAUCAUAAUCAUCAGCUUCUGUACCGAUUAUUUUAAAGGUUUUUCUCACCUCAAAUGUCACUUUCUUCAUGGUUUCUGGAUUUUUCACCAACUCAGAUAUUACCCAUUCUAGUGUUGUGGAAGUUGUUUCUGUUCCCGCAAUAAAAAUGUCCUAAAAAUACCAAUUGAAAAAUGAUUUAUGGAGUUUCAAGGAAAUACGUACAUAUAGAUCGACUUUAAUUUUGAGUUAUAAAAAAUGAUCAACUUACCAACAAUACCGCCUUCAAAUUAUUCAUAGUAAAUUCAAAGCCAGAUUCAUUUUUCUUUUGAAUUUUGAGAAGAAUAUCAAGAAAAUCUUCAUCAUCAUCUGCUACCCCAUUUUUGUUAUUUUUUGAUUUCUCAAGAUGUUCAUCUACGACUGUGUUUAGAAUAUGAUCAUUUGUCCUAUACGUCUUUUCCGCUCUUUUCCUCAAACCAGUCAACCAAACGAUGAAUUUCUCCACAGCAGGAAAGUAAUUAGAAAUGUUGAAACCAAGUAUAAGAUCAAUAGAUUCCUUCAUCGAAAUCAGAAAUGCGUCCUUGUGUCUAAGGUUAUUGCCAAACCCAG